This 65255-nucleotide long non-coding RNA is filed under the name Triticum aestivum (bread wheat). RNAcentral describes it as "long non-coding RNA (TAES_LNC025017)". The stretch from base 51026 to 51112 matches the Rfam family "MIR1120/MIR1122 microRNA precursor family". The record is from RNAcentral. Lineage: Eukaryota; Viridiplantae; Streptophyta; Magnoliopsida; Poales; Poaceae.
UCCGGCGGCAGCAACCCCAACCCGCAGGAGUGGCGCGUGCUGCCCUACUCCCGGAAGCACAUGUCCGGCAUCAAGGAGAUCACCGUGCGCGAGCUGCCCUCGGCCGCCGACGCGCCCCGCUGCGCCGUCACCUCGCAGGUCCCCGCGCUCGUCUUCGCCAUGGGCGGCCUCACGGGCAACUACUGGCACGACUUCAGCGACGUCAUGAUCCCGCUCUACCUCCAGGCCUCCCGCUUCGACGGCGAGGUGCAGCUCGUGGUCACCAACAUCCAGCCCUGGUACGCCGGCAAGUACCGCCACAUCAUCGCGCGCCUGUCGAGGUACGACGUGGUGGACAUGGACAAGGACGACCAGGUGCGCUGCUUCCCGUCCGCCGUCGUCGGCAUCCGCAUGCACAAGGAGUUCAGCAUCGACCCGGAAAAGGAGCCCACGGGCCACUCCAUGCCGGAGUUCACCAAGUUCCUCCGCAACGUCUUCGCGCUCCCGCGCGCCGCGCCCAUGCGGGUCACCGCCAGACUUAUAAGCGACAAGAAGCCGAGGAUGAUGAUCAUCUCGCGGCGCCACCCGAGGAAGCUGGUGAACAUCGCGGAGGUGGUGGCGCUCGCCAAGCGGAUCGGGUUCGAGGUGGUGAUUGGGGACCCGCCGUUCAACGUGGACGUGGGCGACUUCGCGCGCGAGGUGAACGCCGCCGACGUGCUCAUGGGGGUGCACGGCGCCGGCCUCACCAACUCGCUCUUCCUGCCGACUGGGGCCGUGUUCAUCCAGGUGAACCCCUUCGGCAAGAUGGAGCACAUCGGGGAGGUGGACUUCGGGACGCCGGCGGUGGACAUGGGGCUCAAGUACAUGGCCUACUCGUGCGGCAUGGAGGAGAGCACGCUGGUGGACACGCUGGGGCGCGACCACCCGGCCGUCAAGGACCCGGAGUCGAUCCACCGCAGCGGGUGGAGCAAGGUGGCGGAGUACUACCUCGGCAAGCAGGACGUGAAGCUCGACCUCCAGCGGUUCGAGCCCGUGCUCAUCAAGGCCAUGGCCAUGCUCAGAGAGUAGCCGCUCCCUCCGAUCCAGCUUGCAGCCCACACACAUUGUGGUAGAGCUGAUACGCACUAGCAUAGAGCAGUUCCAUUUCUUCUAAUUUAUUCCUAUUAAUUUACAUAUUUUUGUGGAUGAACUGAUCAAAAGGUUUAUACAGCAAGUAUAUAUGUGUUCCACUGAUCCAUCGAGAGAGCAACACGAAUCAUUGAUUAUAGUGGCAUCAUCAACAAUCUCUCCUAGUAAUAAAAAGAAAGAAAUUUUAAGACAGUCCAAAGUAACAUGAACAGUUCUCUUUCCCGUAUAAAAACUGAUUUAUAUGGAGUUGGGCCAGAAAAUGUUCCAACAGGUCCCGUAAACGCUAAUUAUGUGGAAAACGUUAUACGGCGAACGUUUGCUUGGAGCGACUUCCCAGUGCACACCCAAACUUGCCGUUUUAUUGCCAAAGUAACAUGAAUGCUGCAAUGUAAUAUUUGAUAUGUGGAUACAGACAAGCAAUAUGUUUGUGCAGGGAACAAAAAUAUAUACAAUUUUGAUUCAAAUCUUCAAACAUAAAUUAUAGUGCAGUAUCUAGUUGUACAGUUGUUUUUUUGUUGUAUCUACUUGCACAACUACAUAGUUUGAAGUAAGCAGAAAGUUCUUUCAGAUCAAAUUUUCUUUGCACUGCAUAUUAAACUAAUUACAUUAAUACUGGGUCAUGCCCUGUUUGGGCUAGCCACUAUAGGAGCAGUUUGGAUCAUUAUUGAGUAGGGCAUGGGGUGACAUCGGAGAGAAAGAUGGAAGAAAACGAGGCCAUGUUACAUUCCUUUUUUGAUUCAAGGUGAAAUUGAGAUUGUUGAUGGCUUGAUGCAACUAGGUCAAACCCGUGGACUAUCUUAUGGAAAGAAUUUAGAUGUUUCAGUAGAGAACUAGGUCAUGAGUUGGCUGGGAUGUCAUCCAGGGCCCAUCUCCAGCCUANNNNNNNNNNNNNNNNNNNNNNNNNNNNNNNNNNNNNNNNNNNNNNNNNNNNNNNNNNNNNNNNNNNNNNNNNNNNNNNNNNNNNNNNNNNNNNNNNNNNNNNNNNNNNNNNNNNNNNNNNNNNNNNNNNNNNNNNNNNNNNNNNNNNNNNNNNNNNNNNNNNNNNNNNNNNNNNNNNNNNNNNNNNNNNNNNNNNNNNNNNNNNNNNNNNNNNNNNNNNNNNNNNNNNNNNNNNNNNNNNNNNNNNNAGAUUUGGUCAAAGUCAAACUACACAAAGUUUGACCAAAUUUAUAUAGAAAAAUAUGAACGUCUACAAUACUAAAACUAUAUAGUAUGAAAAUACGUUUCAUGGUGCAGCUGAUAAUAUUGAUUUCAUAUUGUGAAUGUUUAUACUUUUUAAUAUAACCUUAGUCAAACUCUACAAAGCUUGACUUUGACCAAAUCUUAUAUGCGGACUAAAAAGAAACGGAGGGAGUACAAAGUGCAAUAUGCUUUUCUUGUAGGCACACACUUCCUUUUCCGUCUCUUUAUUUCUUUUUGUACUAUUUGUAAACCAACUCAUUUAUAUUCCAUAUAUUGUGGGUGAUUUAUGUUGUCAAGCAGCCUCAGAAAUUAACUCAUACUAAUGUUUCACUAGUAGAAAAAGGGUCAUUUGUCCCGAUUCGUAAGGGCCAUUUGUCCCGGUUGCUGAACCGAGACUAAAGGGUCGUUACUAAAGCCCUACACCUUUAGUCCCGGUUCUUACACGAACCGGGACAGAUGGGCCUCCACGUGGCCGGUGAGGCGAGCCCAGACAGGAGGCCCUUUCGUCCCGGUUGGUGGCACCAACCGGGAUCAAUAUGCAUCCGUGCGUCAGCAGCUUGCAGGAGCUGAGGUUUUUGUUUUUUUAAGGGGUGGGUUUUGGGGGGUUAAUUUAGAUGUUUCAUAUAUUGUGUUAGUUAGCUAAUUAAUAGAGAAAAGUGUCCUCUCUUAUCUCCGUGCUUGGUCGACGCUACAUACUAUAAGUAUAGAGAGGACUCGACACGCUAACUAGUAAGUAAAAAUGAAGGAAACAGAAGAUCGUCAUGAACAUAUGCAUACAGAGAGAAGUGAUAUCGACCUCUCCUUCUCCGAGAGAUUGGUCGAACAACAAGUUUUCGUUAUCUAUCCGACGCUAUUGGCUACAUAUAUAUAAUAUAAGAUCUCUUACAAUAUAAUCCCCUAAUUAUAUAUGAACUCAGGGUCCACAUGGUAUUCUCCGUCUUUAUCGAUCACGUGGUCAAGAAAGAAUGCCGUCAAUUCCUCUUGAAUUGCUCGCAUGCGAUCUGGUGCUAGGAGUUCAUCCCGCAUCCGAAACAUCUAAUUUGAAGAAGGGGGUCAAUACAUAUAUAUGAAUGAAUGAAACUCAACACAAAUGAUGGUAAUAAAAUAAAAUUCUGAAUAUUAUUGCUUACGCACUUCAUAUUGGUUUUUAGUGUAGCCCGCUCACAGGUCCUGUGGCGGAUGGACUCGGAAACGUAGAUCCACAGUAAUUAUUCCCGGCUUCCCGCCACAACCACUUUACAAGAAAUAGAGGUCAAUCAAACUGAUAAGCAAGCAUGCUAAAUGGUAUUGAUGAAACUAGCGCUUGAAUCACUAGGAGAUGCGCGGAACAUGCUAGUAGUACUUACUUUCGGGUGUUUAAAUUGCAGCUUCUUCGACAGUCCCGGAGCUUUUGAGAUGAUUUUUUUUCCAAACCCUGCCAGACAAAGAAAACAAUUACUUUAUUAUUUCUUCUUCUUCUUCUUCACCACACAUGUGUGGGUUUAGUUAAUUCUUUCAAGCUUCUUGUUGAAGAGAUUGAUUGGAUAGGAAGCUCCUCCUCGUUACCCGAUUCAUCAUAAUAAACACUAGGAGGGUAUUGGGAAAUAUUUUCCCUUUCAUUAAUACUCUAUCCAUAUUCAAUUUAUUUUCUUGUCUUUGGGUAGUUGAUAAUAUAAGAAUUCUCAAUGCAAUUUACCGCACAAAACAUAUAAAUUUCCACUAGAUCAAAAUCAAGAAAUCUCUCGGGAUUUGGAAAACCCUUAGUUAUACGUUUCAUUUCUUCAUAUCCCAAAAGAAGACUAAGCUCUUUAUGAUGCUCAAGGGAAAUCAAGUUAUCACUAUUUUUGGACAUGAUUUGAUCAUGAAACAAUUUGCAUUGGAGAUUUAAAUGACCACGUUCAUUGCAAAGUUCACAAGGAUGGCGAAAAAAAUUACAUCUUUCAGCACAAUCAUCUAGCCUCUCUUGCAACUUUUUCGUUUCUAAAUAUUUAUGCUUCUUACAAAAUCUAUCUUCCCUUCUUGGUGUGCAAUUACACUCCCAAUUGACUCCGCAAAAAUUGACAUGUUUAUAAGAAACAUUUUUGUCAUGACUUGUGCAAUCAUCAUUAGCAUUUUGGAUAUUCAAAGAAUUCAUACUAACAACAUUGCAAUCAUGCUCAUCAUUCAAAUAUUUUGUGCCAAACAUUUUAUUGACUUCUUCUUCUAACAAUUGAGCACAAUUUUCCGAACCAUUAUUUUCAAGAAAGAUAUUAUAAAGAUGAUCAAUAAUAUGAUGCAACCUCAAUUCCAUUUUUAGUUUUCUUUUAUAAAUCAAAAUAGUGAUAAACAAGAAACUAAAAGAUUCAAUUGCAAGAUCUAAAGAUAUACCUUCAAGCACUCACCUCCCUGUCAACGGCGCCAGAAAAGAGCUUGAUGUCUACUACACAACUUUAUUCUUAUAGACACGUGUUGGGACUCCAAGCGCAGAGUUUUCUAGGACAGUAGCAAUUUUCCAUCAAGUGGAUGACCUAAGGUUUAUCUAUCCGUGAGAGGUGUAGGAUGAAGAUGGUCUCUCUCAAAUGACCCUGCAACCAGGUACAAGAAAUCUCUUAUGUCCCCAACACACCCAAUACAAUGGAAAAUUGUAUAGGUGCACUAGUUCGGCGAAGAGAUGGUAAUAAAAGUGUAAUAUGAAUGGUAGAAAUAUAAUUUUUAUAAUCUGAAUAAAUAAAAGCAGCAAGGUAGCAAAUAGUAAACGGGCACAAAAACGGUAUUGCAAUGCUUAAAAACAAGGCCUAGGGUUCGUACUUUCACUAGUGCAACCUCUCAACAGUGCUAAUAUGAUUGGAUCAUAUAAUCGUCCCUCAACGUGCAACGAAGAAUCACUCCAAAGUUCCUAUCUAGCGGAUAACAUAAGACAGAAUUGUUUGUAGGGUACGAAACCACCUCAAAGCUAUUCUUUCCAAUCAAUCUAUCCUAGAGUUCGUACUAAAAUAACACGAAGCUAUUCCUUCCGAUCGAUCUAACCAAGAGUUCAUACUAAAAUAACACCAAAGCAAAUUCAGAUUCAUAAUAUUCAAUCCAACACAAAGAACUUCAAAGAGUGCCCCAAGAUUUCUACCGGAGAAACAAAGACAAGAACGUGCAUCAACCCCUAUGAAUAGAUUACCCAAUGUCACCUCGGGAAUCCGUGAGUUGAGUGCCAAAACAUAUAUCAAGCAAAUCAAUAGGAUACCCCAUUGUCACCACGAGUAUUCAAUUGCAAGACAUAUAUCAAGUGUUCUCAAAUCCAUAAAAAUAUUCAAUCCGAUAACCACAAAAUCUCAAAAGGAAAAACUCAAUUCAUCACAACAAGAUAGAGAGGGGAAAACACCAUUUGAUCCGACUAUAUUAACAAAGCCCGUGAUACAUCAAUGUCAUGACAUUUCAAGAACACGAGUGAGAGAGAGAUUAAACACAUAGCUACUGGUACAAACCCUCAGCCCCGAAGGUGGGCUACUACCUCCUCAUCGUGGUGGCCGCCGGGAUGAUGAAGAUGGCCACCGGAGAUGAUUCCCCCCUUCGGCAGGGUGACAGAAAGGGUCUAGCUUGGUUUUCGGUGGCUACAGAGCCUUGUGGUGGCGGAACUUCUGAUCUAGGUUAACCCCGAAGGGUUUUGGAAUAUUUGUGAAUUUAUAGGGUAAAGAGGGGGUGCGGGAGGCCACCGAGGUGGGAACAACCCACCUGGGCGCGCCAAGUGCUGCUCUGGCCCAUCCUGGGUGUUCUGGUCCAUCAAAAUUCUCCAAAAUGUUUCAUGGUGUUUGGACUUUGUUUGAUAUUGAUUUUCUGCGAUGUAAAAAAUAAGCAAAAAACAGCAACUGGCACUGGGCACUAGGUCAAUAGGUUAGUACCAAAAAAUGAUAUAAAGUUGCUAUAAAAUGAUUCUAAAACAUCCAAGAAUGAUAAUAUAUUGGCAUGAAUACUUCAUAAACUAUAGAUACGUUGGAGACGUAUCAAGUACCACCCGCAGCGGAAUCUAAAAGAUCUCUAGAAACAAAAUCCAAUCUAGCAGAAAAUUUUUGUAUGAUCAUCCAAGGAUUGAAACCAUGAGUAGGACAAUUUCUUAGCAUCAACUUCAUUCUUUCCCAAGAUUGUGCAACAAGUUCAUUCUCAGGUUGCUUAAAAUUCAUGAUUUGAGUUCUAAGGGAAAUAAUUUUUGCUGGUGAAAAAUACUUAGUGAUAAAAGCAUCCUUGCACUUUUUCCCAAGAAUCGACACUAUUGCGAGGCAAAGAAGAAAACAAUUUUUUUGCAUGAUCCUACAAGGAGAAAGGAAACAAUUUCAACUUCACAAUACCAUUGUACACAUCUUUUUUCUUUUGCAUAUCACACAAUUCUACGAAUGUGUUUUGAUGGGGCGUGGCAUCCUCAUUAGGAGUACCGGAAAAUUGAUCUUUCAUAACAAGAUUCAACAAAGCGGCAUUAAUAUCACAAGACUCCGCACUAGUGGUGGGAGGAGCAAUCGGAGUACUAAUAAAAUCAUUAUUAUUAGUAUUGGAAAAAUCACACAACUUGGUGUUUUCUUGAGGCACCGUGAACACGCAAACAAUAGAUCCGACGGGAAAAAGGCAAAUGGAAAGAAGGCAAAUGAAAAGGCAAUCUUUUGUGAAGUGGGGGAGAUGAAAACGAGAGGGAAAUGGCAAAUAAUGUAAAAUUGCAAGGAGAUGAGAUUUGUGAUUAGGAACCCGAUAGAUGUUGAUGAUGUCUCCCCGGCAAUAGCGCCAACAAUUCCUUUGACAUGGCAUAGAUCUGCGUUGGUAGAUCCUCAAAGACGAAGGGAUGAUGCAGCAUAGCUAUGGCAAGUAUUUCCCUCAGUUAUGAAACUAAGGUUAUUAAUCCAGUAGGAGAACCAAGCAACACUAUGUAAACGGUACUUACACACAAAGAACAAAUCCUCGCAACCCAACGCGUAAGAGGGGUUGUCAAUCCCUCCUCGAUAAAAAGAUAGAUUAAAUCGUAUGUGUUUGGAUAAAUAGAUAUGAAUAAAACACGAAAUAAAAUAAGUAAAGAAAAAGUGCAGCAACGUAUUUUUGGGGUUUUGGAAUAAUAUAUCUAAAAACAAUAUGAUAAAAGAUAGAUCUGAAAGCAAUAUGAUAAAGGAUAGACCCGGGGCCAUAGGUUUCACUAGUGGCUUCCCUCGAAAAAAUAACAUACGUGGGUAAACAAAUUACUGUUGGGCAAUUGAUAGAAGAACAAAUAAUUAUGACGAUAUUCAAGGCCUCGCUACCCCUUCUUUCAGCAACGAUACAUGCAUGCCUCGCUACCCCUUCUGUCACUAGGUGAGGACACCACAAGAUCGAACCCAUCACAAAGCACCUCUUCCCAUUGUAAGAAAAUUCAAUCUAGUUGGCCUAACUAAACCAAAGAUCCAGAGAAGAUAUACGAGGCUAUAACAAUCAUGCAUAUAAUAGAUCAAAAAAACUCAAAUAAUAUUCAUGGAUAGAUCUAAUGAUAAAUUCGAACUUCAUUGGAUCCCAACAAACACACCACAAAAAGUCAUUACAUCAAAUAGAUAUUCAAGAACAUUGUAUUAAGAAUCAAAAACGGGGAAGAAGCCAUCUAGCUACUGCCUACGGACCCAUAGGUCUAUGAUGAACUACUCACGCAUCAUUGGAGAAGCACCAAUGAGGAUGAUGAACCUCUCUGUGAUCGUGUUCCCCUCCGGCGAAGUGCCGGAAUAGGGAUCUCGAUUGUAUCUCAUGGUUCUGGAACUUGCGGCGGCUGGAAUUGUGUUUUGUCGACUCCCCUAGGGUUUCUGAAAUAUUUGGGUAUUUAUAGAGUUGAGAGGCGGUGGAGGAGACCCCUGUCAGUCCCACAACCCAUCAGGGCGCGUCAGGGGCCUCUAUCACGCCCUGGUGUCUUAUGGGCCCCACGGACCUCCCCUCUGGUGCUUCCUUGGCUCCCAAAUUGUCUUCUGGUCUAAAGAAAAAAUCUCCAAAAAGUUUUGCUGCGUUUGGACUCCCUUCGAUAGGGAUAUUCUGUGAAGUACAAAAUAAGCAAAAAAACAGCAACUGGCGUUGGGCACUAUGUUAAUAGGUUAGUCCCAAAAAAUAAUAUAAAAUUGCUAUAAAAUGAUUGUAAAACAUUUAAGAAUGAUAACAUAACAACAUGGAACAAUAAAAAAUUAUAGAUACAUUGGAGACGUAUCAGACGACACGGUGGACGCGUCCCCGGAGGCCAUCCGGCACGACGACGACGACGACUCCACGGCACACCUGUGGUCGGUCGGUGUCUUGUUGAGAAGAAUGACGGAAAGAUGAUUCAUGUUUGAUUGACUAAAUAGACUUCCAUAACCGGACCCGUUCCUCCACUCACAAGUAAGAAGAAGGUGGUCCUACAAGUACUUCGCUCUAAUAAGAUAUAACCACAAGCCCCCUUCAUCCCUAAGAAUCCUCCAAACCCAUAUCAACAUAUAUAAGGGCCAUAUUUAUUUUGUGGGACAUGAGAAUACCCAGACCUCCCAAAGGUACUUGACCACAUGGUACUUCUGGCACCCAUUGACCACCUCCCAUAAGGAAUGCGUACAUCCUUGUCAAAAGGAGCUAUGUUCCACUUAUACAACCCUAUUAUAUACACGAGGAGGCUAGAGAGACACGAGUCGGUAAACACGAACUUACUCACUUGGGAGGUGAAGCUCCCAUAGCCCCGUCUUGGACGCAACCAGCCCUGUUAGUGGGUCAAAACCCCAUAUCUAUACCCAAGAAUCAGACAACGGCAUCCUCAGGUAUGCAAUGGGGAAGGAGGACAACCUACAAUUCAGGUUGUCCACAAUUUGUUACUCCUAAUCCUCCUCCGAAUCCCCCAUGAUCACAACCUUACCCCGAGCCUCACCCUAUGUACUCUACCGACCGGAACGGCAAUUUCCGUGAGAAUCACUAAAUACUUUUUAUUUCAAAAUAAGAAUGUUAAAUGCAUGUGAGGCAUCAUAAAAUGUGCAGAUGCUCAUCCAGAUGAUAAAGAAGAUUCACGGAGCACAUAUGCACCAGCUAGGUCCGCUCGUGUGCAUGCUCCUGGAGUACUUGCACUUUACUAGCUAAAUCGACCGUUCAAUCAUCAGAAGCUUUUCAAAGUUGGGGAAAAAAUUCAAAAUAAACCUUGAACAUGUAGAUGAAAGCUAAUUCAAACCCUAAACUCUUUAUCCCGGAAAUCAGCACACUGAACUCUUCAAUCCCGGUCUAUUUUCAACCUUGAGCGUGUUCCCAAACAGGGAUUGUCGAAGUGGCAUGUCGAAUCCCGGGAUAGUUCAGUGCGCCUGUAACUGGGCCGGCCCAACAUACUCGAACAGAUUUUUCUUUUUCUGUUUCGUAACACGGAAGUAAAAAUACCCAAAAAUUUAUUAAAGUCUGGAGUAAGCGAAUUUGCGCCCAUGAGCUUCAAACUCCACCCGCUAGCCACUAGAAGCAUUGGCUGUUAGUGCUAUAAUUAGUGCCCGAGCAAUUUAACCACAGACCUAUUCGCAAAAAAAAAAACCACAGAUAGUGUCCAGAUUUGAAAAUAUCUUUUAGGGUCAAGCGAAUAUUGGAAACGUGCAGGCCUGAAUGACUUUUUAAAUCUCUGAUUUUCUAAAUUGCAAACACUUUGUGAAAAUUCUGAAUACUUUUUUUAAACGAACAUUUUUUUGAAAACACAAUAAAAUUUUAAAAAGCGAACACUAUUUGGAACAUAAACAUUUUGUUGCAAAAAUGCAACAAAUAAUGAAACCUGAACAAAUUUUAAGUUUUUUAAACAAUGUAAACAACGUUUGUAUAGUUUUAUGAAAUUUAAAAUGUAUAUAUGGCAAAAUGUUAUCCUGUCACAUUUUCGGAAAAUGAUUUUGGAAUUUUGAAAAUUAUUUGCUUUAAAAAUAUUCGUUAUUUAAAAAAAUCAGAUUUUUUAAAGAAAUAUUUCGAAGGUUUUAAAAAAUGUGUACGUACAUAAACGUUCCUGCCUAUUCUUAUAUGCGACGCGCAAUUUAUAAUGACUAGCAGCUGUCAUGGCGAUUGGCUAUGUCGGGCCGCCGCGAGUUCUAGGUCCUUAGCUAGUUUGAGACCUCUCACAAGCUCACUGCUGCUUCUACUUUUGUCGCUCCUAAUAUAUGAAAAGUGGGCUCGUGUAUAUUUUAAAAUAAUGUUUAGUUUCGUUAUAAAAAUGUAAAUGAUUUUUUCAUCAUUACGAAAAUGUAAAGCAAAGGGAAAAAAACAGAGCAUAACAAAGGCGCGAGCGACCGCGCUAAUGGGCCGGCCCGAUUUAUCCUAAUGUCCAGCCAGCCCGGUCAACGAUCCUUGCCAUGUCAGCAAAUACUAGCUAAACGCCUCAAGGUUUAAAAUAGACCGGGAUCAAGAAGUUCGGUGUGCUUAUUUCUGGAAUUGAAAGUUUAGGCUUCGAUUUAACUUUUGUAUACAAGUUCAAGGUUUGUUUUAGACUUUUUCCUCAAAGUUGGGCGCCGGUUGGCAGGCUGUUGUAGUAGUUGAUGCAUGUUAGCAACCCAACGUCCGACACCAAAUGCAAACCAUACCUCCAUGCUAGGGUGCAAUAGUGUAGCGACUUUUCGUGCGGACCGACACCAAAUGAAUUAAUAUCAGAAACCAUGUUAGUUAGCGACCAUAACACAAACUAUAUAGUACCGUACUAGCUUAGCCCGCGCGGCGACACGCCGCGCCUGUCGAUAAGUCGCAACUAUGUAUACUAUGGUCUAAACAAUAGAACAAUGAAUAGUUAUAAAUUAAAAAGUAUGUACGAUAAUUUUGUGUGUAUCUUUUGCUAUCAAUUAAAGAGAAGGACAACAAUAUAUGUAAAAGUUGAAGAUGACAAAGAAGUAGAUUUAUUACAACCAUGCAUAAUGCAUUGCCACCUGGAGUAAAUCAUAUUAUUAGUGCGCUCUUUUGCCAUUAAGCAAGCAGCCCAGUCAACUAACCCUAAUUUAUCUACACCUAAAGCAAUCACAUGUUCAUCAGAUGAUGAUAGGCAUGGAUCAUCUUCCAAAAAUAUAUGCAGAAACAUUCUUUGCAUAUCUUUUUCUGUUCUUAAAAAUAAUUAUACUGCUGUAGGUAUGAUACAAAAUUAAUAAUAUGCAUGAUAGCACCCCCUCUGGUGACCACAUCAUCGAGAUAGUGAAACUUCAUGAAAAGAUAAAUUUGCAAAAACCUUAAACGCUAAAGGUAGUAUUAUCUCAAGAAUGACUGAUACACAUUUUGCACUCAAACAAACAAUACGUGAGUGAUUCCAGAUUUCAGAUUCAGACUGACAUUAUCUCAGGCCUGCUAUAAAGAAAGAAGCUAGAUUUGUAGAUCGGGAUUGCAACUAAAUCUCAGUCGAUGCUAUAUUAGUAGGAUCUUACAUUGAGAUCAAAUUUUUCUGUCUACUUUUUUUUUCUUACAUGUUAUAUCACUUGACAUAGACUUGUUAAGUCUUAGUCGACCGAGACCUAGACACACUCUUUAUAGAUAGCCAGUAGCUUAGUCCUGUUAAAGAGAGAAGCUAGAUUGACCAUUCGCUAUUAAACAUUGAACUUAAUUAGUUUUUUAAUAAUAAUCUUAAUUAGUUCAUACCUUUUACUUGAAUAAUGCCACCUGAGAGCGCAGUUGAUCUCCUCACUCCAAUGAGUUUGCUUUUCCUGCUUCAAUGCUCAAUUUCUCAUUCAUUAGAUUGAGCUCUGCAUGUUGUUGACUAAUAUGGGUACUUGCUUAUAUGGAAGUAUACACAGAUACUACACAGAAACACAAAUACUGCUGAACGACAAAAUUGGAAACUAAUGAGCAGGAAUUAGAUUUCUCCCACUUCAGAAAGGAGAACUCAAAAAAGAGUAGCAUGUCAUCUGGAAGCACAACCACAAACCAAAUAAGCACAUUAGAGAGAGAGAGAGAGAGAGAGAGAGAGAGAGAGAGAGAGAGAGAGAGCAAUUUCUACCUAGCCAAAAAUGAAUAUAUCCAUCAAAUUCAUCACAAUACCUUCUCAAUCUCUCUCCGUCUCUCACAUAUAGCCCACACGACACCAGACGGGAGGCAGGCAACACCCCACGCCCGUCGGUACUGUCCAGUUAUUCGGAACUAAAGGAAUUUAUUCACGAUUAUUGUACAUACAUUGUGUGACUAAAAAGGGAAAUAAACACCCUAGUUUCUAAGGCACUUCACCCUAGUUUUUGUAUUAUCCUAUUAGAAUCGAAGAAUAACCUCUCUGUAAACUAUAUUUCUAGUCUCAGAAGUUGGACAUCCACGAUCAUCCUCGAUCAAAAAUUUAAGCCCACUGCAUGAAGUAACCCGGGACACUACCACAUAUAAUUGUCCAUGCGAAAACACCGGCUCCUGCAAGUAUACGCAUAACUUAGACAAAGUUUGCCCCUGGCUCUUGCUGAUAGUCAAGGCAUAACACAGCCUUAUUGGGAACUGACAUCGUCGGAGUGUGAAAGGCCAUUUAGAACCUGCUGAAUUUAAAACUAUACGUGGAAUGCAUACGCGCUCCCCUUUAUGUGAUCCAGUAAUAAUUUCUCCUUCCAAAACUCUAUCACCCAAUCGCAUAAUAAUUAGCCAUGUCCCAUUACAUAAACCCAGAGAUUGAUUGAUGUUCCUAAGAAGCAUAACUGGAACUCCAACCUUGAGUGAUAUCUUGUGAUGAGGAAAAUUGUUUAUUGUGAUAGAAUUCAACAAUUCUGGAGGAUAAAACAAUUCCACUUCAUCAACAGGAUCAGUAGAUCUUGAUAUGGAAUCAUAGCUCAAACAGUCAGCACAAACACCGGGCACGCGCUUGAAGACGACAUCAUUUAAUUUGUCGACAAUAGAAUUUGUUGGGCAAACAAUAGCACGGCGUGACAAAUAGUCAGCAUCAUUAUACUUCAAAAAGAACACAUCAUAUACAUAAUCAACCGCAGCUUCCAUGUGAUCAAUUGUUGGAAAUAGUAACAUAUCCUCGGGAAUAGAAACCCACGAAGGAGAGGACUCAUCACCUUUUUGCACUGCAUCUCAACAGAUCCAUCGCCAAUACUCUGUACCCAACUUGAAAACAUAGCUAACUCCAACUGUGCUUCACAGGACAACUCAGGAUUACAAAGCCGCAUGUUAGUAUGCAACUUAAGGAUCUUAACAUAAUGCCAAAGUGGGGAAGUAACCAAGGACGCAUCAAUGAUAUCUUCCUUUGUGCCACCUUGCACGACCGGCAAAAUCUGUCUGAAAUCACCACCCAACACCAUAACUUUACCCCCUGAAAUCAUAAAUUUGUCGCCUCCUGCGUUCACGGACACGGUUGGAGCUGCCACAUGGGAUCGUCCAUGAGUCGGCUGCUGGGUUGUCGUGUGUAUAGCAGCGCUGCCCCUGCCCGCCACCGUUAGCGUCCUUGGCGACACCAUCACGCCAACCGCAUCACCAGACAGAUUCAACGUCUUGAGCCCGCCGCAGGAGCCGGCGAGCGCGGCCACAUCGACGACGGAGCCGCGCAGCAUGGAAUUUCCAGUGUGGUCGAGCAACUCGAGCUUGCUGCCGCACCUGCCGCCGGAGCACAUCACUGACGUUGGCCCCCCGGAGGCUGAGAGCGAGAGCGAGAGCUCACGGCGACAGCGCGGAAGUCGGUAUUGAGCAGGACGUCGGAGAGUGAGAGCGACGUCAGGCGCCCGCCCCUGCACACCGUGCCAGGGAACCUGCAGGUGCCGUCGAGCGAUGUCUGGUUGGGCAGCGCCGCCUUGAAGUCGUCCAGCAGCUGCGCGUCAUCGUCGGCCGUUGAUACGUCUUCAACGUAUAUAUAAUUUUUUAUUGUUUUAUGCUAUAUUAUAUCUUGUUUUGCACAUUAUUGGACUUUAUUAUAUACUUUUAUACUUAUUUUUGGAACUAAUCCAUUAACCGGGGCCCAAUCCAGAAUUACUGUUUUUUUGCCUAUUUCAGAUUUUCGCAGAAAAAAAAAUUAAACGGAGUCCAAACGAAAUGAAACCUUCCGGAACGUGAUUUUCGGAACGAAUAUGAUUCAGAGGACUUGGACCCUACGUAAAAAAGCAACCAGGAGCGCAUGAGGUAGGGGGACGUGCCUAACCCACAGGCGCACCCUCCACCCUCGUGGGGCCCACGUUGCUCCACCGACGUACUUCUUCCUCCUAUAUAUACCUACGUACCCCCAAACUAGUAAAUACGGAGCCAAAACCCUAAUUCCACCGUCAUAACUUUCUGUAUCCGUGAGAUCCCAUCUUGGGGCCUUUUCCGAAGCUCCACCGGAGGGGGCAUCGAUCACGGAGGGCUUCUACAUCAACACUAUAGCCUCUCCGAUGAACUGUGAGUAGUUUAUUUCAGACCUUCGGGUCCAUAGUUAUUAGCUAGAUGGCUUCUUCUCUCUUUUUGGAUCUCAAUACAAAGUUCUCCCCCACUUUUGUGAAGAUCUAUUCGAUGUAAUCUUCUUUUGCGGUGUGUUUGUUGAGACCGAUGAAUUGUGGGUUUAUGAUCAAGUUUAUCUAUGAGCAAUAUUUGAAUCUUCUCUGAAUUGUUUUAUGUAUGAUUGAUUAUCUUUGCAAGUCUUUUCGAAUUAUCAGUUUGGUUUGGCCUACUAGAUUGAUCUUUCUUGCAAUGGGAGAAGUGCUUAGCUUUGGGUUCAAUCUUGCGGUGUUUCCUUUCCCAGUGACAGUAGGGGCAGCAAGGUACGUAUUAUAUUGUUGCCAUCGAGGAUAACAAGAUAGGGUUUAUUUCAUAUUGCAUGAGUUUAUCCCUCUACAUCAUGUCAUCUUGCUUAAAGCGUUACUCUGUUCUUUUGAACUUAAUACUCUAGAUGCAUGCUGGAUAACGGUCGAUGUGUGGAGUAAUAGCAGUAGAUGCAGGCAGGAGUCGGUCUACUUGUCUCGGACGUGAUGCCCAUAUACAUGAUCAUACGUAGAUAUUCUCAUAACUAUGCUCAAUUCUGUCAAUUGCUCAACAGUAAUUUGUUUACCCGCCGUAAUACUUAUGCUCUCGAGAGAAGCCACUAGUGAAACCUAUGGCCCCCGGGUCUAUUUUCCAUCAUAUUAAUCUUUCGUCAACAAGCUAUUUCCUUUUCCGUUUAUUUUGCUUUGCAUCUUUAUCAUAAAAAUACCAAAAAUAUUAUCUUAUCAUAUGUAUCAGAUCUCACUUUCGUAAGUGACCGUGAAGGGAUUGACAACCCCUUUAUUGCGUUGGUUGCGAGGAUUUUUAUUUGUUUGUGUAGGUGCGAGGGAUUCGUGCGUGGCCUCCUACUGGAUUGAUACCUUCGUUCUCAAAAACUGAGGGAAAUACUUACGCUACUUUGCUGCAUCACCCUUUCCUCUUCAAGGGAAAACCAACGCAUUGCUCAAGAGGUAGCAAGAAGGAUUUCUGGCGCCGUUGCCGGGGAGUCUACGCAAAAGUCAACAUACCAAGUACCCAUCACAAACCCUUAUCUCCCGCAUUACAGUAUUUGCCAUUUGCCUCUCGUUUUCCUCUCCCCCACUUCACCCUUGCCUUUUUAUUCGCCCUCUCUCUCCGUCCUCCUUCUCUUUCCCUAUUUGCCUCUUCUUUUGUUUGCCUUCUUCCCGUAUGUAUCCUUGUUUGUGUUUCUAUGUGCCUUCUAUUUGCUUGCAUCUUUGCUUGCUAAAAAUCUAUUGAUAUGGAUCCACUUAAAGUGUUCUACUUAGAUCAUCUUCGAUCCUUAUGCGCUCGUGCUGAUACCCCAACUAGCCUAGUUGAUGGGAAAUCUUUAGAUGAGCAUGCUCAUUUUGUGCGUCACCGUUUGUCUGAAAAAGGGAGACUCUUAUGGAAUCAAAUAAACAGAUUACUGUGCUAUGCUUGGAAUCUUUGUGAAAUUUGUGAUUUUACUUGUUGCUCUAAGAACUCUAAAAAACACCUCCCCUACCUAUGUGAGUUUAAUGAUAUUGAAAUCUUAUCUUCUUAUGCGAAGGGUGUUUAUAGUUACUACGAUAUCGAAUGAAUUGAAGAAUUUUUUGCCUUUAAGGGUGCUUAUGAAGUUGCUUCUUUGAUUGAAAAAUAUGAUAUUACUCUCUACGAAUCUGAAAAUUUUGACAUACUUAAAUAUUGCUAUGAAAACUAUGCUCAUAAUGUCUAUGUCAAAGAAUUUAUUGAAAGAACGACUGUUGCUUCGGAAGAAAAUAAUGAUAUGCAUGAAUCUAUAGAUAAUUAUGAUUCCGAUGAUUUGAUUGAAAUAUCCCUUGAUGGACAUGAUGCUUUCUAUUCUUCUGACCAUGAUGCCAAUAUUUAUGAAGAUGGAUUUGCUAUAGUUCCUUAUGUUAAACAUGAGAUCAUUGCUAUUGCACCCAUAUUUAAUAGUUCCAUCGAUGAAAAGCAUGAUUGCAAUGAUGUUAUUAUAAAUUCUCUUAAUGUCAAUUGUGUUAAUGAUAUGCAAAAUCCUAAGCUUGGGGAUGCUAGUUUUGCUAUGACUACUAUUUGUUGCAAUGAUCAUGAUUGGGGUGAUUCUUUUUUUGAUCUUGAAAAUUUAUUUAAGCCCCAUGAUGAAUAUGAGAUUGAUAAUAGUGUUUGCAAUAUUAUUGAAAGUGGGUUUGGAAGAGUGUCAAAUUUAGAUCCCACAUAUUUGGAGAAUGUUCAAUCUUAUGAAGUUUUUGAUAAAAGUGGGUUUGGAGAGGUCGUGACUUUAGUUAAUGUUAAUACCACUAUUUUGGAAGAGUGUCAACUUUGCAUAGAUGUGGAUCUUAUUAAGAAUAUGUUUUGUGAUAGAUACAUUGUUGAAUUUGCUUAUGACCCUACAUGUAAUUAUUAUGAGAGAGGAAAAUAUGGUUGUAGAAAUUUUCAUGUUACUAGAUUACCUCUCAUUAUGUUGAGAUUGCUAUUGUUUCUUUCCGCUUUCUUGCAUAUGUUAGUUUUUGCUUUCCUUGAUAAUUUGUUUGCCUAUAAGAUGCCUAUGCAUAGGAAGUAUGUUAGACUUAGAUGUGUUUGUCACGUGUACUAUGAUGCUUUCUUUGUACUUCAAUUCUUGUCUUUCAUGUGAGCAUCAUUGAAAUAUUAUGCCUAGCUAUAAGGCUUUAAAGAAAAGCGCUUGUUGGGAGACAACCCAAUAUUUUUCCUUUCUAUUAUUCAAUAAAUAAUUUAUCUAGCCUCUAUUUUGGUUGUGUUUUUUGUGUUUAAUUAGUGUUUGUGCCAAGUAGAACCAUUGGGAAGAGGGAAAGUCUUUUUAAUCUUGCUGUAAAAAAAGAAACUUUAGCGCUCACGAGAAUUGCUGCCAUUUUUAUUUGGAAAGUUCUAUUUAGUUAAUUAUUUUUCAAGAUGAUUAAUAGAUAAAUUCCUCACUUCCAGCAAUUUAUUUUAGAAUUUUUGGGGUUCCAGAACUUGCGUUAGCUACAGAUUACUACAGACUGUUCUGUUUUUGACAGAUUCUAUUUUUCGUGUGUUGUUUGCUUAUUUUGAUGAAUCUAUGACUAGUAAAAUAGUUUAUAAACCAUAGAGAAGUUGGAAUAUAGUAGGCUUAACACCAAUAUAAAUAAAGAAUGAGUUCAUUACAGUACCUUGAAGUUUUGUUUUCUUUCGCCAACGGAGCUCACGAGAUUUUCUACUUUAAGUUUUGUGUUGUGAAGUUUUCAAGUUUUGGGUGAAAGAUUUGAUGGAUUAUGGAACAAGGAGAGUCAAGAGCCUAAGCUUGAGGAUGCCCAUGGAACCCCAAGAUAAUCUAAGGACACCUAAAAGCCCAAGCUUGGGGAUGCCUCGGACCACAUGAUAUGUGUUUUGCUUGGAGCGUCUUAUAUUAUUUGAGUCUUUAUUUGUUAGUUUUCCACAAUCAUCCUUUCUGUACACACCUUUUGAGAGAGACACACAUGAUUCAGAAAUUGUUAGAAUACUCUAUGUGCUUCACUUAUAUCUUUUGAGUUAUAUAGUUUUUGCUCUAGUGCUUCACUUAUAUCUUUUAGGGCACGGUGGUGGAUUUGUUUUAUAGAAACUAUUGUUCUCUCAUGCUUCACUUAGAUUAUUUUGAGAGUCCUACAAAACAGCAUGGUAAUUUGCUUUAAUUAUGUUAGGCAUUCAAGAUUAAUAUUAUUUUUCUUAUGAGUGUAUUGAAUACUAUGAGAAGUUUGAUACUUAAUAAUUGUUUUGAGAUAUGGAGAUGGUGAUAUUAGAGUCGUGCUAGUUGAGUAGUUGUGAAUUUGAGAAAUGCUUGUGUUGAAGUUUGUGAUUCCUGUAGCAUGCACGUAUGGUGAACCGUUAUGUGAAGAAGUUGGAGCAUGAACUAUUUAUUGUUUGUCUUCCUUAUGAGUGGCGGUCGGGGACGAGCGAUGGUCUUUUCCUACCAAUCUAUCCCCUAGGAGCAUGCACGUAGUACUUUGCUUCGAUAACUAAUAGAUUUUUGCAAUAAGUAUGUGAGUUCUUUAUAAAUAAUGUUGAGUCCAUGGAUUAUACGCACUCUCAUCCUUCCACCAUUGCUAGCCUCUCUAAUACCGUGCACCUUUCGCCGGUAUCAUACACCCACCAUAUACCUUCCUCAAAACAGCCACCAUACCUACCUAUCAUGGCAUUUCCAUAGCCAUUCCGAGAUAUAUUGCCAUGCAACUUUUCAUCGUUCCGUUUACUAUGACACGCUCCAUCAUUGUCAUAUUGCUUUGCAUGAUCAUGUAGUUGACAUUUUAGUUGUGGCAAAGCCACCGUUCAUAAUUCUUUCAUACAAGUCACUCAUGCAUCAUUGCUAUCCCGAUAUACCACCGGAGGCAUUCAUAUAGAGUCAUACUUUGUUCUAGUAUCGAGUUGUAAUCAUUGAGUUGUAAAUAAAUAGAAGUGUGAUGAUCAUCAUUCAUAGAGUAUAGGCCCAAAAAAAUAUAAAAAGGGACAAUACUACUAUCCUUGUUUCCACACUUGUGCUUCAAAGUAGCACCAUGAUAUUCAUGAUAGAGAGUCUCCUAUGUUACCACUUUCAUAUACUAGUGGAAAUUUUUCAUUAUAGAACUUAGCUUGUAUAUUCCAAUGAUGGGCUUCCUCAAAAUGCCAUAGGUCUUCGUGAGCAAGCGAGUUGGAUGCACACCCAUUUAGUUCUUUUUGUUGAGCUUUCAUAUACUUAUAGCUCUAGUGCAUUCGUUGCAUGGCAAUCCCUACUCACUCACAUUGAUAUCUAUUAAUGGGCAUCUCCAUAGCCUGUUGAUACGUAUAGUUGAUGUGAGACUAUCUUCUCCCUUUUUGUCUUCAUGUAUUGCGUGAAGAUUGAAAAAGUUUGAGAACACCAAAAGUAUGAAACAGUUGCUUGGCUUGUCAUCGGGGUUGUGCAUGAUUUAAAUACUUUGUGUGGUGAAGAUGGAGCAUAGCCAGACUAUAUGAUUUUGUAGGGAUAACUUUCUUUGGCCAUGUUAUUUUGAAGAGACAUAAUUGCUUAAUUAGUAUGCUUGAAGUAUUAUUAUUUUUAUGUCAAUACUGAACUUUUGUCUUGAAUCUUUCGGAUGUGAAUAUUCAUACCACAAUUAAGAGAAUUACAUUGAAAUUAUGCCAAAUAGCAUUCCACAUCAAAAAUUCUGUUUUUAUCAUUUACCUACUCGAGGACGAGCAGGAAUUAAGCUUGGGAUGCUUGAUACGUCUCCAACGUAUCUAUAUUUUUUUAUUGUUCCAUGCUAUAUUAUAUCCUGUUUUGGACAUUAUUGGGCUUUGUUAUACACUUUUAUAUUAUUUUUGAGACUAACCUAUUAACUGGAGGCCCAGACCAGAAAUUGUUGUUUUUUUGCCUAUUUCCGACUUUCGUAUAAAAAGAAUAUCAAACGGAGUCCAAAUGGAAUGAAACCUUCCGGAACGUGAUUUUUGGAACGAACAUGAUCCAGAGGACUUGGACCCUACAUCAAGAAAGCAACCAGGAGGGCACGAGGUACGGGGUGCGCCUACCCCCCAGGCGCGCCCUCCACCCUCGUGGGGCCCACGUUGCUCCACCGACGUACUUCUUCCUCCUAUAUAUACCUACGUACCCCCAAACUUCUAGAUACGGAGCCAAAACCCUAAUUCCACCGUCGUAACUUUCUGUAUCCGUGAGAUCCCAUCUUGGGGCCUUUUCCGGAGCUCCGCCGGAGGAGGCAUCGAUCACGGAGGGCUUCUACAUCAACACCAUAGCCUCUCCCGUGAAGUGUGAGUAGUUUACUUCAGACCUUCGGGUCCAUAGUUAUUAGCUAGAUGACUUCUUCUCUCUUUUUGGAUCUCAAUACAAAGUUCUCCCCCUCUCUUGUGGAGAGCUAUUCGAUGUAAUCUCCUUCUGCGGUGUGUUUGUUGAGACUGAUGAAUUGUGAGUUUAUGAUCAAGUUUAUCUAUGAACAAUAUUUGAAUCUUCUCUGAAUUUUUUUAUGUAUGAUUGGUUAUCUUUGCAAGUCUCUUCGAAUUAUCGGUUUGGUUUGGCCUACUAGAUUGAUCUUUCUUGCAAUGGGAGAAGUGCUUAGUUUUGGGUUCAAUCUUGCGGUGUCCUUUCCUAGUGACAGUAGGGGCAGCAAGACACGUAUUGUAUUGUUGUCAUCGUGGAUAACAAGAUGGGAUUUAUUUCAUAUUGCAUGAGUCUAUCCCUCUACAUCAUGUCAUCUUGCUUAAGGCGUCACUCUGUUUUUAAUUUAAUACACUAGAUGCAUGCUGGAUAGCGGUCGAUGAGUGGAGUAAUAGUAGUAGAUGCAGGCAGGAGUCGGUCUACUUGUCUCGGACGUGAUGCCUAUAUACAUGAUCAUACAUAGAUAUUCUCUUAACUAUACUCAAUUCUUUCAAUUGCUCAACAGUAAUUUGUUUACCCGCCGUAAUACUUAUGCUCUCGAGAGAAGCCGCUAGUGAAACAUAUGGCCCCGGGGUCUAUUUUCCAUCAUAUUAAUCUUUCGUCAACAAACUAUUUCCUUUUUCGUUUAUUUUGCUUUGCAUCUUUAUCAUAAAUAUACCAAAAAUAUUAUCUUAUCAUAUCUAUCAAAUCUCACUUUCGUAAGUGACCGUGAAGGGAUUGACAACCCUUUAUUGCGUUGGUUGCGAAGAUUUUAUUUGUUUGUGUAAGUGCAAGGGACUCGUACGUGGCCUCCUACUGGAUUGAUAACUUGGUUCUCAAAAACUGAGAGAAAUACUUACGCUACUUUACUGCAUCACUCUUUCCUUUUUAAAAAAAAACCAACGCAGUGCUUAAGAAGUAGCAACCAUCGCCGUGAGCGACGCCAGAAAGAGUGCCGGCGCUAUAUCGCCAACCGCACGGGAUCCAUGUAGGAGCACGCUUUACCUUGAGACCAUAAGAGCAGAAGCCGCCGAGCUCACCUUGCAGAAUAUCGUUGCAUCCCUGAAAGAACAGUUGCACGGCCGCUCCCGCCGCCAUUAUGUGCAUGCGCCUCUCUCCGCCAUCCCUCCGCGAGCGUCCUCAUGCACGACUCGUCGACAGAACGCAGCCGGGGGAUCCCCUGUUUCUUCUUUGAUGGAGCGGUCUUUCCACGGGAGCCGAGAUAGUGAGACGACACCGACGGCUCCAGCCGAGGAUGAGACGAACAAUAAUGUCGGGAGGGAGGUGGGAGUGUUCUCGAGACGAUGAGGAUUUAUACACCCGUAAGCGGCGGCCCACCUAUCAUCGUCCAGAAAGUGCUUGACCUAUCAAUCUAUCAUCGCUCCUGAAAUAGAACAACCCAAUAACCUUGUAUGAAAAAACAACCCAGAAAUCCAGCACGCCAAUAAGAAAACGAAUCAACGACGUGGCCGCAACAGAACAAAACAGCAUGGCAGGCAUGCACAUGCAUCCAUCCAGAAACGUCCAUAAGAAUUUACGCAGGCUAGUCAAACCGCCCGUGCAGAAAAGGACACGAAGACAAAGCAAAUCAACUUCUGGAUACGAACCAUGCAUGGAGACCAAUAGGAACUGCCGGCCGUGCCGGCCGUGCAUGCCCAUGCAGUCAACGGGAUACGCUCGCCCACAUAUAGUCGAUUUCGCUACGCACACCAACACAGCCCAUACACACGUUAAGAAAAUUUUCAUCAACGAUCUACGUUCACUAUGUAAGUCUACACAUUAAAAUCCCAAAAUAAUACACGUGUCUAUAAACUCAGAACCAAGAAGUCCCUUUCGAACAGUUGGGUAAACCUCAAUGCGUAAUCUUUUCGUGAUAUGGUGGCUUGGAUACUAGUAGUACAUUCUACAAGGGUACUGUUAGCACUAGCAACCCCUUAAUAGUUCCCGAAACUUGUUGGUGACAUGCACAUAGAACUAGUAGAAUGCCCAUGCGUUGCUACGGGCUACAAUGCAUAUAAAUAAAUCAAACAAAUAAUUAAGGUCGUCUUUAAGGUCGAAGCUCGUUUUUCCCUCGUACGUCCGGGUUUGUUCGGACAUCAAACGGGCGUCCAGUAGGCUCUCCAAAAUUCAACCGUUUGGACAGUCCGAGCUCCCCAAAUCAAGCCCAUAUGUGGGGGAGAAAUGUGGUUGUCUGAACUAUCCCUCGUGUUAUCACCCACACACAGUCCCAAUACAAAAACCCCACCCCAUGACGCACCCUUUUGUUUUCCUGUGGAACCCUUACCUUCCCGCUCGAUUUCAUGCCAUAAUGGGACAUUUCUCACUGAAGUCUUCUCUAAAACCGGAUGACGUCCACCUCACCUUGGCCACGGCGCCUUCUCUCCUUGCACCAUACUUCCUCACUGACCUAAAAGAGUGAUAAGUAUGUACGUAUAACUCAAAGGAGUUGAUAAAAAACUUAAAUAAAUGAUGCUAUCCGGACGAAGCUCCGUGUUGAUCGCAGGUUGGUCGUUGGAUCUGGCUUGAUCCAAUAGACCACACGUCCUCCGCUGGUCCAUGGGCCAUGGGACCCGCACACCAGUUAACCCUGUUCCUCCUUAUCUUCUUCCUCGAUGCGGAUCCCCUUGUAUCCAUUGUCUUUCUCAUUGUUGAGGCCAUCCCUUCAGCAUCGAUAUCCCCAAAUCCCCCAUGACUCCCUCUCAUGAAUAGGCCGACGACCUCCCUCAUCCUUUCUCUAUCACUCGCUAAUCCCAUGGCGCCCUCUCCUUUACCAUGCCAGGGAACUCCCGCAUGCAUCUCCUGCAAAUCCCCAUCCCCCCCCCCCUCAGGUGGAGGAUAGUCACCUGUGCUGCAAAAAGCCGUGGAAAAGUUGUAUCCGGCUCCUUCGGAACCUGCGAACAGCACCUGCAGAAGCUGCAAUGCGUGGAGGUGAGGUCCUGGCGAAACCGGUGAGAUGUUGAAACAGGCAGUCGACAAGAUUCAACCGUUGUUAAGUUUUGCUGGAACAUGUGCUCAUGUUUGUUGUGUAGGCAGACCACAUGAAGUAGAUGCUUGCGACGUUGAUGCUACAGCCGAUGACGUUUUGCUGGAACCAUUGGCAAGUUUUGCUGGGACCGAUGCUUGAUUUUGUUGCAUAGGCAGACCCCGCAACGUGAAUGCUAUAACCGGCAAAGCAAUUUGCUAGAAUCAGCGGCAAAAAUUUUUAGACAGGCAAUUUGGGCAACUGCGACGACAUGAGGGUCCUCGGCGAGCCGUCGGAGUCAAAUGCCCCUCGGUGUGCCAUGGUCGACAUUGUUCCUUCCUCGAACCGGCUCUACGGCUGAUGGCAAGCUGCAACAUGGUGACACCAUGCUACAAGCCAGGAGAGAUCGACGGCGACCACCAGGGGCGGUUCAAUGAUGUCGACAUGAUGCUCCGAGGUAGCCGAUGGUGUUGCAAGGGGACAGAGCUAUGGUGCGAGGUGUCGAGUCCCAUCCCUCCACGAAUCACCCAUGGUGAGCUGCAACGAGGCUUCAUGUAGGGGCGGAAGAAAAACUUAAAUCGAAUGGCUAUUAGCGUCCAGAUCAAAUGAUAGUGCGUAAAUCGUAUGACCCGGUAACUGCAGCGCCGCAAAUUUGGGCCAGUCAACCGAUGCCUAGCUGCCACCAAACCUAAAGUUAGCAAAUGUGUUGUCACAUCUUGAUUAAGCAUUAACUAAGUUUUUGGUAUAAAAAGGUGAAAGUUUGUUCAUCAUUUUACCCAAAUAUAGUAGUAUUUAUAAAGUAUGGUAACCCAUUUCUUGGGAUCGAUUGUAGUCAAUGGCCCAUCCUGCUGCUCUACACCUCUACUGAUGAAGCCUCGAUAAUACACUUGUUUCUCAAAGUUCUAGGGAGUAGAAGCAUUUCCAUGUUUGCUUCUCUCUAGUGAAGCUGAAGGUAAUGGCCUGUCGGUCAAUAUUCAAACACCUAAAGUUUUUCAUGCCCACAAAUACCCGAUGAUAUUCUUAUUUUCAUACAACAUCAUUCACAUUUUUGCACCUAGCAACCCUAGCAAUGGGUCUCGGCAACAACGAUGAAAAUGGUGGGAGAAUCAGAUAUUUUAUUCACCCGGUCUGACAGUCAUGCAAACAUACUGAAAGAAUGAUUCACCAUUAGAAUGAACCAUAAAUGUCAUAAGCGCGAGGAAGAAUAGGAAAUGAUGCUUACACAUACAAAAGGAUUUAAAAUUUAAACCAAAUUUACACCAUUUUCUAAUUGUUGUCACAUUUGAGACAAACCAAAAUAAUACUGAAAACACAUAUGAAAUUAUGAACUGAUUUAGACCAUUUUUUAUAAGCAAAGGUAAAAUAGAGUCAUAGGCUAUCAUAUUGUUGAAAGAACACUUUCUGGAAAUCAAAAUGAAAUGAAAUAAUCAUACAUUUGUCUCCGCGAGUCUCACAUAGACCAUCUCAUAUAUCCCAAUUUCGUGUGAAAUAAUGAGAUCAUCGUCAAGAUACAUCUUCCUGAGUACAGUGCAAAGUAAUGCUAUAUCACAAAUGGUUGUAAAUCAAUAGUAUUUAUGUAUAAGCAUGCAUGAGAUCAAUACUCAGGUUCUAGUAGAAAUUAGUGAUAAAUAAAUAAAUAAAAUAUGUAUACGCAUGUAAGAAAUUUAGAAGUGCAUCUAAGCAUAACAUGUGCAGGUUACAUACCAAUAAUAUAGACAUAGUUAGCGUCAGGGGAACCCACCAGAUCUUUAACCAACAUAAAGAAAGCUACCCUCAUCCUCAAGCCCGCUGCCAUCCAUUUAUGUAGGUCAAAAUGUUCCAUUACCAAAAAAACUGGACACUGAAGAUUUGCAAUACCAGUGUCAUAUUAAUUACUGACAUUCAUGUGGGAUUGGAAGAAAAUUCAAAUUGCCUUUAUUUAAAUUACCUAAAUAGCCCCAGUAGACGCAGCGACCAUAGUUCACGAUGUAGCGUAUAUGUGUACUGGGCCUUUGGUGCAUGACUACGUCGGCUGGGGCCUCACAUGCUACCCAGCACAGUCCUGCACUAACGAACUUUUGAUGUUUCCCUCCUCCAAGGUUGUGAACAUGAGUCCAAGUUUUUUGUUCUUCGACCACCAAUCAAGUUUAGAACUGGUCCAACAAUUUCAUGUUGAGAUCUGAAUAGAAAAAGACAUGAUGCCCUAUGAGAAAUAUCAUGGCCACCAAAGUGUAGCGCUUAUGAGUUCAUGAAACAACUUUGGUGAAGGAAAAGAAGAAGAAGAAUACUGCAUAUACAUAAGAAUACUGCUUAUGAGUACAUGAAGUAGCAAACAUAAUUCAAACAACUACAGUCAUGCUUAGAAUUAGGGAGCCAAGAUGACUUCAAGAAUAAAAGCAACAAUUAACUCAACAGUGCUCACAUUAGUGGUGUUGUCCUGCGUUAUGGAUGAGCUGCGGAAAGGGAUAGGUGUUGCAAUCGCCAGCUAGAGGCGGACGUAAGUGAAGGGCACCAUGGCAGCAAAACAUGGGCUGAGAGGACGAGCGCAUGCCACCGCCUCAUCGCUGAUCUCAGGCAUCCCUAAUUUCUCCAUUACUCAACCAGGGAUAAGUUAUGUCAAAUUACAUAUCACUAUGGCUGGGAGCUGGUGUCACCAUGGCUUGUCCAAAUCAAGCGCUUACUUCUUUUGGAUUGGAAAGACAACAAACUGAAGAAUUAGUGCAGCAUCACCCUGCAAAUCAAACAUGUUUCUUGUUUCUUCGUGCAACAUCUGCUCUGCAAAUCAAACAUGUCAGCAGUAGAUAAUCUAUCAGGAUCGAGGCCCCUCAUCAUUGGUGACAUUGCCCCAGCCACAAAACUUCUCCAACAAAACAGCUCCAUCUGACAACAACAAUUGGGUUCACAAAACCAACAUAAAAAAUCAGUUCUGAAUUGAUAAACUAAAUGAUAGCUAAAAUUUAUACCGGGUCAUAGGAGAAUUCACACAGUUUGGCAAAUAUACAGGCUAUAGUACAUACACAAAAUAACAGCUCUAGGCACAAUAAACUUGCAACUUAAUUCUGUUGAACACGGCGAACAAGAAAGAAGCAUACAACUGCAUCCAUUCACCAUCGCAUCCAGUUGUUCCCUUCAAACCUCCAAGAGUGAUGGCGGCACCGACAUGACCACACCUGCACCAGUUCACCGAACCAAUGAACCAAAUCAAUUGUUCACACUAUGCUGUGAUGAACAAAUUCUAAGACAUCACAUCAGUGUAGCAGUCCAAAUAAAGCGGUACAUUAGCUUUGAACAAAUACUCACAUAGAUCGAGUUUCUAGCUCAGGGUUGUGUACGUGCACAAGUCUUACUUAUUGGCUAUUGCCUCACGCAGCGGUCUGCAUCACCACUUGAUCCCAUUGACCGAUUUACUACUGCCAUGAACUGCUGCUGAUGAGUUUGAUUUGGGUGCCGUCUGGCCAGCAAGUCGCAUGGAAGAGAGGUAUAAGGGAGAGACAAAGCGUAUAUGCAUGAGAUAGAUUACUUCACAUCGCGAUGGUGGCGGACACCCGGCCGACAGCAAGUUGGUAAGGCAUAUAAAAAUUAAGGCGCUCUAACCGAAGCAGAGGAGAGUGGAGCGGCAAUUACCAGAUGGAAGAAGAUGCACACACAAGGGGAGAGGAAGAGCGGCAUGGCAGAGUAACCCACCGACGGCCGUGCCUCCAGUCUGCUUCCCCUGCGCCCCUCAGUUCGUCUCCACCGCACUCGCUCGAGGGCGCGAUCGCCCAGCCGCGCCGCUGUCUUGCUUCGACGCCGCCGCACGUCAUUCCUAGAGAGAGACCAAGAUGGGAGAGAUGAGUAGGCUCAGGUAGAGAGGGAAAAAUCUGUACCUCACGUCCUCACGCCCGUCUUCUACCAUCAUCCUAAGCCCAAUGCCGAUGCUGCCCUGAGCGCCGUUGUUUCAUCUAUCUAGCCGCCACAGGAGAAAAACGAGAUGGGAAGGGCUCAUAGGGUUUGGCUGUCGUGGGUGAGAAGGAUAUGAUCUGGGCCGGAUUGGAUUGUCCGUGGCCAUAAAAGGAAGAUUAAUAAAGUGUCUAAAAAAGGAAGAUUACAAACGCAGGAAGGUAGGGAAUCGGUCUGCCAACAAAAUUGAUCGACCAGGUGGACUUUGAAGGGGAGAAAAAAAAACAUGUGGGAUCGAUGGGAGGGGAUGUCGAACGAACGAACGAACCAACGACGUACAGACUGCUCCUUUAGGAGUAGAGAUGAAUGAAUCGUACUAGUAUUGUACAGGCAUGCAUGUGAUGUGCUUAAUUAAACUGUGCUGCACUUGGUUGAUUGUACUUGGCCGGCGAACUUAUUAACCGGCCGUUGCGAUGUCAUGCAUCAUCGACUCAUCCUGCUCGUUACAUUUUUUUUUUGAGUGGUAAACCAAUUUUUAUUACUCAGCUGCAAGGUUUACAGGGAUAAUGAGGGGGUCAUGAGGAGCCUCAGCCACACAUGGCGACCAAACUCUAAAGUACUAGAAAACUUAGCUAAGUUGUGAGCAUCCCAAUUCAUAGCUCGCCCCUCAAAAACAAAAACACAACUAUUAAACUAUUUUGCCCUAGCAAUGAUCUCUUUGAUGAUUACAGAAUAUCUUCCUUCGGUGCCUCUCUGAAUGUCCGACACCACUGCCUUGGAGUCGCAUAUGAUUAUCAGUCUGUCCACCGCUAGAUCUAAAGCAAGGGAUAGGGCCUCCCGACACGCAAGGGCUUCGAGAGUAGCAGGAUCUGCGAUGUCCGGUAAAACCAUAGCAGACGAGCCCAAGAACACCCCGUUUUAGUCCCUACAGACAGCCGAAGAAGCGCCCUUCUGCCUGUUUCUGGGUAGUGCGCCGUCAACAUGAAUCUUAACUUGACCCUCUCCAGGAGGUCUCCAAGUCCGCCGGAUACUAGAGGGCCCGCUAGUGUUACUUCUUAUUGCCCGUGCAGGAUUUGUUUCUGUGUUCUGUAGCACUUCCAGCUCAUCUAUAGAGUUGUUCACGAAGGAAUGAGUAGCGUGUGGACUUUGAAGAAUUCCAUCGUGUAUCGCCUUUCGCCUAGCAGUCUAGAUUACCCAAAGUGUGACUACCAUCUCAAUCAGUUUCUUGUGUGGUAAGCUGUCAAUCAUCUCAAAAAUCCAUUUCUUCGCGUUCGGAUCUGUCGUGGCCUGGAUGUGAUCGACAAUAUCCAAAUCAGCUAACGCCCAUACACAUCUGGACAUAGAGCAUUCAAGGAAAGAGUGUCACCAAGAAUCUUGGGAACCACAUAACUGACAUUUAUCGUCAUCCGCCAUGUUUCUGUUGUGUCGCACAUCCUCAGUUGGGAUCGAGAAUUUUGCUAACCUCCAUAAGAAGUUUCUUAUCUUUCCGGGCACCUCAAUAGACCACAACGAUGACCAAGACUUUGCCUCGUCCUCAUAAUUUGAUCUCCCAGAAUUGUUUUCAAGCCACUCCUCUCUCCUUCUCUUGGUGUCAACAAGCAUUCGAUAUGCCGAUCUUACCGUAAAGAUACCAUUCUUCUCUGCAUUCCAAGCCCAAAAGUCCUCCAUGUUCCUUGUGCAUAAAGGGAUACUCAUAAUAGUAUUUGCAUCUGAUGUAAGAAAGGCUUGGUUUAUCAAAACACGCCUCCAUGUUGCACUAGUAGCAUCAAUAAGCUCACUCACCCUCGUUGGAGGAUUAUUCAUCAAACAUGCUAUUGGUAUCAUCAUCACAUUAUUAGGCAGCCAAUUUUGCUCCCAUAUCAGUGUUGUAGCUCCAUUCCCUAUCUUCCGAAUGAGUCCCUAACAGAGCACAUCUCUCCCCUCCAGUAUGGCGUGCCAAACCUGGGAAGGUUGGCUUCCCAGCUCGGUUGAAAGAAUGUCACUGUUUGGGAAAUAAAUAGCUUUGAGCAACCGCGUACACGGGGACUCUGUAUUAUGAAGCAGGCUCCAAGACUGUUUCGCUAACAAUGCCAAAUUGAAAAGCUCGAAAUAUCGAAAACCAAGACCAACCAUAAACUUUGGUUGAGUCAUAGAUUUCCAUGAAACCCAGCUCGGNNNNNNNNNNNNNNNNNNNNNNNNNNNNNNNNNNNNNNNNNNNNNNNNNNNNNNNNNNNNNNNNNNNNNNNNNNNNNNNNNNNNNNNNNNNNNNNNNNNNNNNNNNNNNNNNNNNNNNNNNNNNNNNNNNNNNNNNNNNNNNNNNNNNNNNNNNNNNNNNNNNNNNNNNNNNNNNNNNNNNNNNNNNNNNNNNNNNNNNNNNNNNNNNNNNNNNNNNNNNNNNNNNNNNNNNNNNNNNNNNNNNNNNNNNNNNNNNNNNNNNNNNNNNNNNNNNNNNNNNNNNNNNNNNNNNNNNNNNNNNNNNNNNNNNNNNNNNNNNNNNNNNNNNNNNNNNNNNNNNNNNNNNNNNNNNNNNNNNNNNNNNNNNNNNNNNNNNNNNNNNNNNNNNNNNNNNNNNNNNNNNNNNNNNNNNNNNNNNNNNNNNNNNNNNNNNNNNNNNNNNNNNNNNNNNNNNNNNNNNNNNNNNNNNNNNNNNNNNNCACCAAAACUGCCUGAUAAGUUUGUUCAAAUGUUCACAAAGUUCCUUUGGUAACUUGAAGCAAGACAUCGAAAAAAACAGGCAUUGCCUGAGCAACUGAUUUCACUCAAACUUCCUUCUCCACCGAAGAAAUUAUCCACUCCAUCCAUCACUACACUUUUCUCCACAUUCCACAAUAUAUCUUUGAAGUACUUGAAGGCACCAAAUUUCAACCUGCCCACAUCAGAAGGCAUACCAAGGUAUUUUUCAUUCAAAGUUUCUUUUGGAACAUUCAGUACUCCCCUGAUCUCCUAUUUAACAUUUGCUGGGCAUCCCUUGCUGGAAAAGAUAGAUGAUUUCAUAGGGUUUACUCUCUGACCGGAAGCUUGACAAUAUCUUUCCAACAGGUUUGAAACCUCACUUGCCCCAACACCAUUGGCUUUGAAAAAUAGCAGGCGAUCAUCCGCGAACAAAUGGUGAUUAACAGGUGGUGCCGUGGGCGCCACUUGUAUCCCACCCAGCUGAGAUGAUUGAUCUAAGUUUUUUAGGAGGAACGAAAGGCCCUCUGCUACCAACAAAACUAGGUACGGGGAUAUAGAAUCUCGCUGCCGAAGUCCUCUGCUCGGCUUGAACUCCUCUAACUUCUUCCCAUUAAACAACACAGAGUAAGAAACUGAAGAAACCAAGUUCAUGACAUUAUUUACCCACCUCUGUGAAAACCCCAACUUGAACAUAAUUGCUCUUAAAUAGUCCCACUCGACCCUAUCAUAGGCCUUCAUCAUGUCGAGCUUGAGUGCACAGUGACGAUGUUUCAAAGACUUGUUCCGCUUCAUAAAACGUAGGCACUCAUACGCAACAAUGAUAUUAUAUGUGAUCAAACGUCCAGGGACAAAGGCUGGCUAUUCUACUGAUAUGAUAUCUGGAAGCACCAUCUUCAGACGAUUGGCGACAACCUUUGAAGCAAUCUUGUACAGCAAGUUACAUAAGCUAAUGUGGCAAAAUUAUGAGAGGAAUGUUGAAUUUUUUACCUUUGGGAUCAACACCAAAAAAGUUUGAUUAAUACCUUCAGCACUCUCUUGCCCCUCUACUAUUUUGAGAACAGCCGUUGUCACCUCAGCUCCACAUACCCCCAAUGUUUCUGAAAAAAGUGGGCAGGGAAACCGUCCGGCCCCAGCGCCUUCAUCGGAUACAUUUGAUAUAAUGCAGUUUUGACUUCCGCCUCUGUAUAUGUUGCGUCAGGGAGGGCUUGCAUGUCGCCUGUAAUUUUUCUAGGGACCGCAUCCAAAACCUCAUGCAUAUUAGAACAACCCUCCGAGGUAAAAAGUUUUUUUAUAGUACUCGCUUGUCAUCUCCUGAAGCUCAGUCACAUCCUCUGUGAUUUGACCGUCAGGCCUAGUCAGGGCCUUGAUUCUAUUCUUCCUUCUCCGCAUUGAUGAUUUCAUCUAAAAAUAUUUAUUAUUUUUAUUGCCAUAUGUCAACCAGUCCACCCUUGAUUUCUGUUUAUAUAAUAUUUCUUCACUUUGGUACAACUCAACAAGGCGAUUAGUAACCUUGAUCUCUAGCCGGCUUGGCCCAGUCCGGCCUUGUAUGUUUUUUCAAUGCCUCAAGCUGCCUUUUCCAUUGUUUUAUCUCAACCUUUACACUUCCAAAUGUGUACCGAUCCCAGUUGUGCAGAUUUUCGCCUAGCGCUUUGUGCUUCACUUGGACCUCAUUCACAGACAACGCCGCUGGCUUACUCCCUCAUUCUGAUUGUACAAAAGAAUCAAGCUCUGGGUGAUGUUCCACAUCAUCUCAUACCUGAAACGGCCCCUGGAUAGGCCCUCAUUCGCAUCUGAAGAAAGUUUUAAGACAAUAGGUCCAUGGUCCGAACAAGCUGUCGAUAGGUCCCCGCGGGCGACCCGGGCGCCCAACCCUAGCCGCCGCCGAACCCAACCCCCACCUCCUUCCUCUUCUCCCGCCGCCGCCGGGCAAAGCUCGAGCGGUGCCGGCGGCGGCGGGAUCUCGUUUGACCUCGCCUGGAACAGGGGCCGCGGGGGGCUGCUUCUUCGGGCGCGGAGGCGGAGCUCGGCGGCCGGUGCGUCGGAUGGAGCGCGCUGGUGGUCGGUGCGGGGCGGCACGGCCUGCUGUCCGGUGGCGGCACGUCACGGUGGAGCGCGCCGGCCGGUGGCGGCGCAGUGUUCUUCACGGCGGUGCUUGUUCUGGUCAGAUCCGCGCCGGCUGAUCUGAGGCGGCAGCCUCGCUGGGGCGGACGACGCUCCUCCGGCGGCGGGGAGUGCUCGUCGGUGAGGUAGACCGGAUCUCCUCGGCUGCACGGGCAGCGAGGUCCCGGUGGGUGCUGGUCAUGGCGCGGGGAGGCCCCGGGCUCCCCUCGUCAGAUCGGAGGCGAUCUGGUCCGCUCGUGUUGCAUGACCUCCGGCCAGCCUGGAUCUCCGGCGUGCAUGCGCCUGCUGAUGUUGUGUCUGGUUCGGAGGUGUGGCGGCAGGGUGCUUGGCCGGAGGAAACCCUUGGCCGCCGGUGGCGGUCACGGCGUCGAUGGCGUCCCGGACGCCAUUCCCUCCUUGGUGGCGGCGCCGAGGCUAAACCUCCUGUCGGUGUCAAAACCGGCGGAUCUCAGGUAGGGGGUCCCGAACUGUGCGUCUAGGCCGAAUGGUAACAGGAGGCAAGGGACACGAAGUUUUACCCAGGUUCGGGCCCUCUUGAUGGAGGUAAAACCCUAUGUCCUGCUUGAUUACUAUUGAUGAUAUGGGUAGUACAAGAGUAGAUCUACCACGAGAUCGGAGAGGCUAAACCCUAGAAGCUAGCCUAUGGUAUGAUUGUUGUUCUGUAUGUUGUCCUACGGACUAAAACCCUCCGGUUUAUAUAGACACCGAAGAGGGUUAGGGUUACAGAAAGUCGGUUACAAUGGUAGGAGGUCUACAUAUCCGUAUCGCCAAGCUUGCCUUCCACGCCAAGGAAAGUCCCUUCUGAACAUGGGACGAAGUCUUCAAUCUUGUAUCUUCAUAGUCCAGGAGUCCGGCUGAAGGUAUAGUCCGGCCAUCCGGACACCCCCUAAUCCAGGACUCCCUCACCUCCCCUGCCUCUCCCCUUCCCCUGCGCCCGGGUGAAAACCCUAGCCCCGGUGGCUAAGCGGCAGCGGUGCCACAUCGUCGUCACCUUCUUGAAGGCGCCGACUUGGGCAUGGGGAUGCUGGGUGUGCAUGGCGAGCUUAUCUGGUUCCUGGUGGCGGCCUGUCUGAUCUACCGCGUCGCUGCUCUGGGCAUGUCUCGUGACUGCGAUGCUUAUCUUCCAGCCGUGUUUCCGAUGGCGUCCUCGCCCUUCCUCACCUUGUACUUGCCGUGGUGGAGCGGUUCUUCAUCUCACUCAUUGAUGGCGGCGGAGAUUGGCGGCAUGGCGCUGUCGAGGCUCAGCGUCCGAUGCGCGGAGAUGGACUCGCGCAGGAGGAGGUAGCUAUCUGGCGUCAUGGUGACGUCGAUGGCAGAAGUGACCUUCACAAAGUAGAAGACUCAAUAUAAUCUGAAGACGGACUUGUGAAAGAUGGCGGCGACGACAUAAGAGUGUGUCUGACCGGAUUGUGCCCCAGACCCGGUAUGUGGCUCGGUUGGGGCUUCCGGCUUUUGAUGUUAGGUUUAGGUGAGUGAUUUGAGUAGUGGCCCAGCUAGCAUCCCUUCGUCAUAUGGAUAAGAGUAGCGGCAUAUGUUGCCAAGACGAUGGAUUCAGGUAUAUUAUUUGUAAUACUUUGUAAGGUCCUUGAGAAUAAUUAAUAAAAUGGUUGUAUGCAUCUCCUAGAUGCAGAGGCCGGGGGUCAUCCUCCUUUUCUAAAAAUAAAAAAAAUAAAAAAGCUGUCGAUAGGUUCUCAAGCUCCGCUCCAGGAAAAACAGAAUUCCAAUUUGCAUCUGCCACUGCACGAUCAAGGCGGACUCGAGUAAAAGAUCCACCAGAAACCCUCUUCUCAAAAGUCCAACUUCUACCUUUGUAGCCUAGGUCCGCCAAUCCACAUACGUCAAGAGCGUCUCUGAAGCCUUGCAUUUGUCCUUGGGCUCUAGGAUUAACUCCAUCAUGUUCAGAUUGUGUGAGUACUUCAUUAAAAUCACCGAGAACCACCCAUAGUAAGCUUGAGCCCGCUGCAGUAGAACAAAGAGUGUCUCAUGUUUUAUAUCUCUCGGUGACCUGAGAUUCUCCGUAUAUGCAUGUCAAUCUCCAAGGCGCUCGACCUAGAUCCUGGAUCGAACAGUCUAUAUGAUACCUAGAGUAACCAACAACUUCCAGAUUUAUUUCAUUGUUCCAAAAAAUGACAAGACCUCCACUUCUACUAGAACUAUCCACUGCAAAAGAAUUAUUCAUAACCAAACGAAUGAGCUAAAAUCUCGGCCCAUGCUCUGGGAAGUUGUGUUUCGACAAGACACAGCGCGGCCGGGGUAAAUUUGGCAUUGAACUCACGGACCUCUCGUCUCUCGAACUGUCGCGGGAUUACCCAAACCACAAAAGUUCCAACAGAAAGUAUCAUUGGGAUCGGCGGUCCUCCACAAGGGAGGUCGCCUCAGUCAUUAGGUCCAUCUCACGAUCUUAUCCAUGUGCUCCUUACCUCCUUCUCUCGACAAUAGGAACUUUCCCCAGUGUCGUAGCUGGAUCAUCUGAAGACCAAGCUGACGCUCCACCUUCAAUUAGCAUAACAGUUCCUGCAACCUUGCCUGCCAGAUUAGGGACCGGCUGCCCCCUGACGAUAAGUGAUCCAUCAGCGGCCACCAAACGUGUGUGUAUGUUCUUUUCUCCCCUUGCAUUCCGAUCAUCUUGCGUGUAGUCCAUAUCCACAUGAGCUCUGUCCUCGUCCGCAACAUUACUUUCUCUCCUUGCUGCCCCAUCCUACCUCUUCCACCCAUCCUGCCUCGUAUGCCACCCGCCUACCUGCACCGCGGGAGUGAAUUGCGAAAAAUCACCACAUUAAAGUGUAGGUUUGCAUGGAAGACUCUUCUACGAAUUUGUGCCAGAAAACACUGAUUUUAGUCCUAAUAUUUUGCAAAAAACACUGAUCAACCAUUUUAUGCAUUUUAACCUCGAUUCUGACAUGUGGGGCCCUGGUAUUUUUGCAUAGUCACCCUUCGGUUAAAAGUACAAAACGCAAUCAGCUCCUCGUCGCCGGCAUGCAGCAGAGGCAUCGGUGCUCAUGGUCCUCGUUGCCAGCCAUGGCCACACCGUCCAGAGGGGGGGGGGAGAGGUUGGCUCGUCGCCGUUGGCUGGUGGUGCCGCAUCUGGCGGUGGUGGGACGAGCACCAGAGGACGAGACGGUGGCUCGUUCAUGCACGCGGCAGCGCUGCUGGCUUGGAGUCUCCAUGCGCUUGGUACCGUCGGACACCACGCGCUCAUCGCCGAGGUCGCUGCUUGCUGCAGCUUGCGCGCCGCCGUCGCUGCUUGUGCCGAGCUGCGCGGCGCCGCUGGUGUUUGCUCCCCUAGGAGGUCGGGGUCAAGGGCGCCGCCACCGCUGCUUCCUCUGCUGGGAGGGCGGCGUUAAGCACGCCGCCGCUUGUGCCUGAGCUGUGCGUCGUCGGCGCCGCUUGCUCCGUCGGGAGGCAGGGGUCGGGCCCGAGCUGCCUGCCGCCGCGCGGCCGCCGCUUGCUGCGCUUGCACCCGAGCUCCGCGUCGGGGUCGUAGCCGGGAAGGGAGGUGGCGGCGCUGGGAGGGCGGGGGCGCGCCGAGAGGGAGGUGGCGGCGCUGGGAGGCGGGGGCGCGCUGAGAGGGAGGUGGCGGCGCUGGGAGGCGGGGGCGUGUCAGAGGGAGGUGGCGGCGCUGGGAGGCGGGGGCGCGCCGGAGGGAGGUGGAGGAGCAGGGAGAGGGUAGUUUUUUAGGGAAGAAUUUUUUAGGGAGGGGAUGACGUUUUGGCAAAAACACUGUUAGCCACAUCAGCAAAUGGUGGGCUCCAUCUGUCAUAAUCGUCAUCAGAUGGGCUAAAGUCAUCAACUAGUGUUUUCGGGCAUAAAUUCGUAGAAGAGUCUUUUCUGCAAACCUACGCUUCAAUGUGAUGGUUUUUUGCAAUUCACUCGCACCGCGGCCCUCAAACGGCCGGCUGGGUAAAUAAGGUUCUGAAUUCCACAUAAGUCACUCUCUUGCUCGUUACGUGGUUAUCUCCGAACGAGCUCUCGACAAAAAAGGCAGGAUGUUAAAUACAGUACGAAAUAGUAAGCGGGGCUAGCUAGAUCGAUACCAUCAGUUCGUACGGUAACGACGAAUUGCAGUGCACAUCAGAAUUAUAUCAUUAGUAUAGUACUACUAGUAAGACAUGUACUACCAUACCAUAUAAUAAGAGGGUAUCUCAAUUAUAAAUCACCUCCAAUUUAGAGUUGAGUUGAGGUGCGAGUAACAAGCAUGCAUGCAAGCACCGAUCUAUACUCCCUCCUUCGUCGACCAGAAAUACUUGUCGAUGAAAUGAAUAAAAAUAAAUAUAUUUAAAACUAAAACAUGUCUAGAUGCAUUGAUUUCUUCGACAAAUAUUUCUGAAAGGAGGUAUGUACAUAUAUAUGUACGAAUGCUAGCGAAACGAGCAACGUUCGCGGUUACCAAUCUAGCCGUGAGUUCCAAGGAGGUGUGACGAAAACCAAAAAUGGGAUGGAGGGCCACCAACGGCGGCCAACUACUCCCACCCGGACAACACUGCCGCGUUCGAUCCUCACAUUACACACGAAUGAACCCUCGGUCGAUCAGCUCAAGACUCCAAAGUAGAUCGUGAAUAUGAUCGGAUUGACAGCUGAAUCCAAUCUAGGGUACUCCCUCCGGCCGAAAUUACUUGUCGCGAAAAUGAUAGAAAUGAAUGUAUUUAAAACUAAAAUAUAUUUAGAUACGUCCAUUCUUGCGACAAGUAAUUCCGGACGAAGGGAGUACUUUCUUGAAAGACGUUUGCCGUGCCUUUUCUGCGAGGACACUUACACCAAGCACCGGAUGCAGCACCUGCGAACUUACUGGUACUUACUACUACGACAUGUAUAUUAGUUACAUGCAUGGCCUUCAUGACACGGCUGUAGUCAGCUACACAUGCAUAAAACAUGCAUCUAUUGCACACUCAUCCAGAGCCUCAUACUCCGAUGCUACACACCGGCCAACCCGUCGCUAAGAACAUUCACAGCCGGACGCUCCAAAUUCAACUUAAACGCCUAGAUGGACAGUUCGGUUAGUGACCAGUCUUUAAAAAUCGAUUUAGACAGACUCUUUAAACAUGCCUUAAAUGCUCCGGCUAACCGGCACCUCUCAUAUCUAGCCCAAAUUUAGAGCGGAUACAAGGGCACCCGCGCGUGUUCACCACGUCAGACCCGGCAGCCCUAGCCCACCACAAAUUGUACCAAAUCCACCCCUUCGACCUACCAGAUCCAUUUGUUUUCUUCUCACUUCUUCCUCCUCCGCGAUGGACAUCUCGUAGCUCCGCCGCCCCCAUUGCUCCGUAGCCGUUCCGAGCCUCUCCGCCGCCAGCACCAGCACAACAGUCCCGUCUCCCGUCCUCGUCGCCAGGGACGUCCUCGCCGGACCACCACGGUACGUCCGGCAACUCUCGAGUUGCGCUAUGUAUGAUGGACGUGCAUGGAUGUGAGAGCCUGGAUUUGAGAUAUGUGGAUGGCGGACACGAGAUAUGAGGGGUCGUCUGGAUGCGUCCGCGGACGUGCCCGAGCACGUCUAGGGUGGUGGAUUCGCCUCUUUUUUUGAGAUGCUGGGUGGCGUAUCUGCCAUGUCCGGCAUUAGAUACUCUAAGCGUAGCCAAAUGAUCAUGUCCGUCAUCGGCAAGGCCCAUGUGACAUGAUGUGGAAGUUUUAUGUACAACAAAGAAACCCGUGGGUGGAGCCUAUAGACGUGGGUAAUGCAGGAUGCCGCAAGUAUAAAUUUGCAACAAUUCAUGUUGUACUCGUCGUCAAGGGUGCUCCAAAUCGGUGCCUCGAUCACCCGAUACGGAACUGGCGCACACACAGAAUACUUGUGGGCGGUGGCCCAUUAGUAUGCAGCGCGCAGCUCGGUCAACGGCUGACUAGUUAACCGGUCAAAUGUUGACUUUCAGGCAAUAAGAAUUAAAAAUAUAAAUAAAAGAACAAAAAAAUGUGAACUAAAAAGCGUUCAAUAUUUAAAAAAGUUCAUGGGAUUUAAAAAAAUCAUUGGAAAAAUGUUCGCAAAUUUGAAAAAAAAUCAUUGAUUUUCAUAGAAAAUCACAACUUUUUCGAAAAGUUCAUGAAUUUGAAAAAAAGUUCACCAAAUUAUAAAAUGUUUCACGAAUUUGAAAAGAAAUUCAUCGAUAUUGAAAAAAAGUGCGUGCAUUUUGAAAAAAGAAAAAUAAGAAAAAAAUAGAAAUAACAUAUAAUAUAUAAAGGAAAAGAAUAAACAAAACAAAAACCAUCAUCAAAAAAAUCUUAUUGAAAAAAGAAAGAAAUGGUUGGGAAGCUUCUGGAAAUGCCCGUCGUCAGGUCCCCUAUAUGACACUCGCCAAAAUGUACUCCAUGCGGUUUACGGUAUGGGCUGACCCAGUCAGUAUGUCUGUGGUUACCAAGCGCACUGUUUUCCAGCGGGUUUUCAAUUUUCUUUUAGGUUUUCAUAUUUUCAGUUUUCAGUCAAAAUAUAUUACUUCAAGAAAAAAAUGUUCACAAAGUUUAAUAAAGUUAGGAAUUUCCAAAUAUGUCCAUAUUUUUUAAUAUCCAUGAAAGAAAAUGUUCCAAAAGAUUAAAAAAUCCUAAAUUUUGAAAGAUGUUAUAAAAAAAUUAAAAGUAAAAAAUUAAAAAUGUAUUCAUAAAAUUUAAAAAGCUAUUCUUGAAUUUUGAAAAGUGACUGUGAAUUUCAAAUGAUUCUUGAAUUUUAUGAAAUGUUCACAUAUUUUUAAAAGCAUUCACAUAUUUAAAAAAUAUUCUCAAAAUUUAGAAAUUGUUCAUGUAUUUUAAAUAUAUUCCUGAUUUAAAAAAAUGUUUACAGACUCAAAAAUGAUCGUUAGAUGGAAAAAGGUUUUAGAAUGGAAAUAAAAAGGUAAAGAAAAGAAAGAGAUAAAUGAUGAAAAAGAAAAGGUAAAACUAUUCGAAUGAUUUUUUUGUCUCAUUCACUUUUGUGGCCGCCGGAUCAACACGCUCCGCGAUUCGUUUUUCUGAGCGACGCGAGCGUGCACUGCUCGUCUCAUACGAGGAGCAGCUCAUGUGCGUGAGGUUUACCCAGGCUUUUUGCUUGCUUAUUUGCCCGAGCUGGGCUAAGUGGGCUUUUUGUGUUCCUUUUUCCCCGACCAAACAAGAAAGAUGGGGGGGUCGAAGGAUGUGAACGCUGCGUAGCUUUUUGCAUGUUUUGUCAUUUGUUUACUGUAGCUUUCAGGGGUAAGCUCUUUGUAAGGACUUUUUAAACUUUUUUCUCAUGAUUAAUUGUUCUUUUAGUUUUUUGUUUUUUUCUUCUUUCACUAUAUUUAAUAGAAUUUUGUUUCACUCUUUUCUUAUUUUUGUUAUAUUCAUUUUAUUUUAAGUAUAAUAUUCAUUUGUUACCCAAGGUUGCAAAUUGAUUGUUUUGGUUUUAUUUUUACAAAAUUAUCCUAUUAUUAUUAUUAUUAUUAUUAUUAUUAUUACUAUUAUUAUUAUUAUUAUUAUUAUUAUUAUUAUUAUUAUUAUUUUAAAAGCAUCACCGUGCCAACACAUUAAUGAAGUUUUGAUUGAAAAAUAGGGUGUCGGUGGGACAGGAGCCAGUUACAUGUCUACCACUAGACAUGCAACUACAAGCAAUGUAACCCGAUUGCAAUUGCGCCGGCACAAAGCAAUUGCAACUGGGGUUGGGAGGGGAAGUUGUCGGGGCCAGUUGCAUGUCCGUAUUAGAAAUGCAACUGCAAGUGUUGUAAUCCGACUGCAACUGCACGGGGCUCAAAGCGACUGCAACUGGGUUCCGGAAAGGAGUGGUCAGGAUACUUGUAUGUCCAGCACUAGACAUGCAACUGCAAGUGUUAUAACCCGACUGCAGCUUCAAGCGUUGUUACCCGACUGCAACUGCAGGGGGCACAAAACACUUCAACUAGGGUUGGGAAAGAACUUGUCGAGGCCAGUUGCAUGUCCACCACUAGACAUGCAACUGCAAGUGUUGUAACCUGACUGCAACUGCACGGUGCACAAAGUGACUGCAACUUGGGCUAGGAGAAGUGUUGUCGAGGCCAAUUGCAUGUACAUCACUAGACAUGCAACUACAAGUGUUGUAACCCGGCUGCAGCUUCAAGCGUUGUUACCCGACUGCAACUGCAGGGGGCACAAUACACUGCGACUGGGGCUGGGAAAGAAGUUGUUGAGGCCAGUUGCAUGUCCACCACUAGACAUGCAGCUGCAAGUGUUGUAACCCGAAUGCAACUGCACGGGACACAAAGUGACUGCAACUUGGGCUAGGAGAAGUGUUGUCAAGGCCAAUUGCAUGUACAUCACUAGACAUAUAAUUACAAGUGUUGUAAUCCGAUUGCAACUGCACGAGCACAAAGUGACUGCAACUGGAUCAAGCGAGAGUUAUCAGGAUCAAUUACAUGUACAUCACUAAACAUGCAAUUUGCAAGCAUUUGUCUGUUCUUAAAUAUUUUUACUACUAAAAAAGGUGUAGUAUAUGUAUAUACAUGGCGUGUUUUCUGUAUGUACAUGCGUGCCCGUUUGAAAGCAUGUACGUGCAACCGGCCGGGAUACGAAAAGAGAAAAAAUACAAACGCGGAGAAGACGAAUGAAGACAUACGCACGCAACAAAACUCACUCCACUCAACGUCACGUCACACCCAGCUCACAUGUACGAGCCAUACAUGCAGCCGAGGGAAGGACGUACGUGGAACAAACAACAACAGCGUGGCAGAUACGAUCGAAUACAAAAUGUUUUCUCUUAUUUUCCUCUUCGCUUUCUAUACAAGCCCAAAUAAUUUUUGAUCAAAGCCCGCUGCUAGAAGGGACAACAACAAUCAAAAAGAAGUCCAGCAACCCAUAUAGGAUGAACGAGAUCAAAUGAUUCUAGGGAAAAAAAGAUGAAUGAGACCAAAUUAUAUCUCAGUUAGAUGAGUUCUAGGCACUCCCAAAACUAAACUAAAAUUGUAAAUGUAUGCCCGCUUUCCAAGACGCUUUUUUCUGUUGCAUGCCCGCUUUUUAAAUGUAUUCAUCAGUGAUGGCGUCUCAAUGUAGUGGAAACAGUGGUUUUAGCACCAUAUUCCGACACACAUGCAUAUAAAAUGUACUAGAGCAUUCUGAGUAACCAAACAUGCAGUAAUUAAAAGGACACCGGGAGCACUAGUAGAUGAUCUCAUCCCUGUUCUUGAUCCAAUUGCCCUUGGCCCUCAUCAGAUGGAUGGAGAAGGAGAAUUAAUGGAAAUGGGAUAAAGAACUGCUGCCCAUGUUUCAACGGAUAUCAAAAGGUCCUUCCUCCAUGAACCUCGUCCCCGCCUCUUCCUGUUCUUUUGUUUCUAUUUUUCCUCGUUUGAAGUACUCCACUAGAAUGGCAGCGACGGUGAUGAGCUCACCGCCGUCGCUGAGCUGCUUGGCAUGAAAAAGUGCACUGCACCGCUGGCCCGCGUAGCAUAGCGUCUCCACCCACACCUGGGCGAGCAGCUCCAGCGUGCCCAUUGCGUCAUCUUGGACCUCCUUGCUGACGACGAUCUUGGCACCAAGCUCGCAUCCUUUAUCCAACAUGGAUACGAGAUGGUCUUGUGUUGUGUGAUCAACACGUAGUAGCGGAUAACGGCUGUUCCUCCCUGUAUCCCCAUAGGUCUUGAGAAAUCUGGCCACCUCCUCGGGUGAGCUGUAAGGCGUAGCAGCAGCAUCACGCGGACCACGCGUGAUGAGGCCAAAGCACACCUCGAUGUAGGAAUUGUGGUUGGCAGUGGGACCGAGCAUGUAGGGGCGUGAGGCGAGGAGGUAGAGCAUGUAGUUGGAGAGCGCCCGGCGAGAGCAUACGGAUGCAGAGGCCGUACCAAGUGUGCAUCACCUCAGCCUUGGUGUACAGGACAUCGUGCAUCAGGGACAGCUGCAUCUCAACCACCUUGUACAAACGGCCCUCCUCCCGGAGAUACGAAGCAUGUCCGUAUCCUGCUUCGUUGAUCAGCCCCUUGAUCAUUUCCUUGGGAACCCCAAGCGUUCGGUGAGCCAUCAGUAGGCAGUCUUCAGUGUCCCAUGGACGCUUGUCUAGUAUGUCUUCCAGAUUGUUGCGUGAGAAAACGAAGGCCGAAUGCUGUAAAGCUUGGUAGUUCUUCCCCACCGGGUUGCUGCCAGCGCACCGGAGAGCCCAGACCCUCUCCGCGUACUUGACGACACCCACCACAAACAUGAGGAUGCCGGCCCACCGGAGCAAGGCCGAGCCACCAACGACAACGGAGGUGUAGAAGAGGACGUAGCCGGCGGCGGUCACCUGCACGGCAAGCGUCUGCAAGUGCCGCAGCCAGAGCCGGUUGUCCUCGACGGCGUAGGCGGUGAUGUUGUCCUGCCCGCCCAGAUGGAGCAGCAGGAACGGCGCCCAGAAGGCCAUAAGCUCGUGGUCGAGAGACCGGCUGGCGGCGGACAGGUGGCCCAGCACGUAGAUGGCCGUGCCGUCGGCCAGCAUGUACGCCGACCAAGCCAAGAACCUUACCGCGCCGGAGUCAACGCGCCGCCGGAAUUCCGCCAGCGUGAGCAGCGCCACCUGGAGCGUCAAGCUGAGCAGCACCAACGCCUGGAUACCCCAUUCUUUCCAUGUUGCGAUACCCCAUUCUUUCCAUGCUGUUCCUCCGGCCAUAUCGAUGUCGAUCUGCAGCUCAACCCUGCUUCUGAAAUCACCACAAGUACAAAUUACAGACCCGCCAUUUGAUUAAGGGGGAAAUUGGAAAUAUAACACAUGGAAUCUAGGUUUGACACUUAAUUCGUCCAACUUUCAAAUAAUGACACUGCAGCAACGAAUUUUUUCAACAUUUGACAUUUUCCCCUCUUUUCUUAUUUCCCAGGCCAUAUCCCUCACCUUUUCUAUUUAUAGAGACCUAAAGUGACCAUUAUGUCCCUGAACCCACUUGGAAGAUUACUGUGGAGUAAUACUCUUGUAAUUAAUCAAGGCAGGAGCUACUACGAGCCCGAAAGAAUGCAGCUGCUGCCGCUACGCCGGUGAGCUGCUAGUCCGGCUAGGUCCGUGGCUGAUUCUACCAUACGUUGCCACGGGGUACGAGGUAGACGACGCGCGGGCGCUCACCACGUCGGGAAAAUAUGUUUUAUUAGAGCACCUGCACCUAGACCCGUCUAUUUUACCAUUCAUUUUUCGCAUAACAAUCCGGGCAAGCACAUUUCUCUUUUUUGUUUCUCUCACAUAAAACAUGUUUUGAACUUCAAACUUCCACAGCACAGCAAAGCUUUCUAUCUAGAAUCUGGGAUAAAACUUUUAGAUUUUUUUCGUCCAAUAUAAAUAUACGAAUUAAGAAUCUUUUGGUUAAAAAAUCUUAUUUUUAGAAUUUAUGUCGGACCAAAAAAUAUGAAAGUUUUAUCUCACGUUCUAGUUAGGAAGCUUUAUUGUGCUGCAAAGUUUGAGAUUCAAGACAUGUUCUAUAUGAGAGAAACAAAAAGAGAAAUUUACAUGUAAAUUGUUAGUUGUGUUGCACAAAUCUCAAAACAAUAUUGGAGAGUUAAGAUAGAUGGGCCUGGGUGCAGAUGCUCAAAUAAUCUGCAUCCACCACGCCGGCGUUGCUCAGCCGGAAUCCGGGAGCGAUAGCGAAGCCAACGACCAUGCCUCCUGCACCGGCACCCAUGUACUCCGGGUGGAACUCGGCGCGGCGGCCGGCCUCGAAGUGGCUGGGCAGCUGGUUGUUGGAAAUAUGCCCUAGAGGCAAUAAUAAAUUGAUUAUUAUUAUAUUUCCUUGUUCAUGAUAAUCGUUUAUUAUCCAUGCUAGAAUUGUAUUGAUAGGAAACUCAGAUACAUGUGUGGAUACAUAGACAACACCAUGUCCCUAGUAAGCCUCUAGUUGACUAGCUCGUUGAUCAAUAGAUGGUUACGGUUUCCUGACCAUGGACAUUGGAUAUCGUUGAUAACGGGAUCACAUCAUUAGGAGAAUGAUGUAAUGGACAAGACCCAAUCCUAAGCCUAGCACAAGAUCAUGUAGUUCGUAUGCUAAAGCUUUUCUAAUGUCAAGUAUCAUUUCCUUAGACCAUGAGAUUGUGCAAUUCCCGGAUAUCGUAGGAGUGCUUUGGGUGUGCCAAACGUCACAACGUAACUGGGUGGCUAUAAAGAUACACUACAGGUAUCUCCGAAAGUGUCUGUUGGGUUGGCACGAAUCGAGACUGGGAUUUGUCACUCCGUGUAAACGGAGAGGUAUCUCUGGGCCCACUCGGUAGGACAUCAUCAUAAUGUGCACAAUGUGAUCAAGGAGUUGAUCACGGGAUGAUGUGUUACGGAACGAAUAAAGAGACUUGCCGGUAACGAGAUUGAACAAGGUAUCGGGAUACCGACGAUCGAAUCUCGGGCAAGUAUCGUACCGCUAGACAAAGGGAAUUGUAUACGGGAUUGAUUAAGUCAUUGACAUCGUGGUUCAUCUGAUGAGAUCAUCAUGGAACAUGUGGGAGCCAACAUGGGUAUCCAGAUCCCGUUGUUGGUUAUUAACCGGGGAGUUAUCUCGGUCAUGUCUGCAUGGUUCCCGAACCCGUAGGGUCUACACACUUAAGGUUCGAUGACGCUAGGGUUAUAGGGAAUAGAUAUACGUGGUUACUGAAUGUUGUUCGGAGUCCCGGAUGAGAUCCCGGACGUCACUAGGAGUUCCGGAAUGGUCCGGAGGUAAAGAUUUAUAUAUGGGAAGUCCUGUUUUGGUCACCGGAAAAGUUUCGGGGUUUAUCGGUAACGUACCGGGACCACCGGGAGGGUCCCGGGCUGCAUGGGCCAAGUGUGGGAGGCGACCAGCCCCAGGUGGGCUGGUGCGCCCCCCCACAAGGGCCCAAGGCGCCUAAGGGGAGGAGGGGGGGCAAACCCUAGGGCAGAUGAGCCUUAGGGCCCAUGCCUGGUGCGCCUCCCUCUCCCCCUCCACCUGGCCGCCACCCAGAUGGGAUCUGGGGGCUGCCUCCACCCCUAGGGAGGGAACCCUAGGUGGGCGCGCAGCCCCUCCCCUUCCCCUAUAUAUACUUGAGGUUUGGGCUGCCCAAGACACAUGAGUUCCUCUCCUUCUUGGCGCAGCCCUACCCCUCUCCCUCCUCGUCUCUUGCGGUGCUUGGCGAAGCCCUGCUGGAGUACCAUGCUCCUCCACCACCACCACGCCGUUGUGCUGCUGCUGGAUGGAGUCUUCCUCAACCUCUCCCUCUCUCCUUGCUGGAUCAAGGCAUGGGAGACGUCACCGGGCUGUACAUGUGUUGAACGCGGAGGUGCCGUCCGUUCGGCACUAGGAUCUCCGGUGAUUUGGAUCACGACGUGUACGACUCCUUCAACCCCGUUCUCUUGAACGCUUCCGCUUAGCGAUCUACAAGGGUAUGUAGAUGCACUCUCCUUCCCCUCGUUGCUGGUUUCUCCAUAGAUAGAUCUUGGUGACACGUAGGAAAAUUUUGAAUUUCUGCUACAUUCCCCAAUAGCGGUAUCAGAGCUAGGUCUAUGCGUAGGUUCUAUGCACGAGUAGAACACAAGUUGUUGUGAGCGUCGAUUUUGUCAAUUUGCUUGCCGUUACUAGUCUUAUCUUGAUUCGGCGGCAUCGUGGGAUGAAGCGGCCCGGACCGACCUUACACGUACUCUUACGUGAGACUGGUUCCACCGACUGACAUGCACUAGUUGCAUAAGGUGUCUAGUGGGUGUCUGUCUCUCCCACUUUAGUCGAAUCGGAUUCGAUGAAAAGGGUCCUUAUGAAGCGUAAAUAGCAAUUGGCAUAUCACGUUGCGGUUUUUCGUAGGUAAGAAACGUUCUUGCUAGAAACCCUUAGCAGCCACGUAAAACAUGCAAACAACAAUUAGAGGACGUCUAACUUGUUUUUGCAGAGUAUGCUAUGUGAUGUGAUAUGGCCAAGAAGAAUGUGAUGAAUGAUAUGUGAUGUAUGGCAUUGAUCAUGUUCUUGUAAUAGGAAUCACGACUUGCAUGUCGAUGAGUAUGACAACCGGCAGGAGCCAUAGGAGUUGUCUUUAUUUAUUGUAUGACCUGCGUGUCAUUGAACAACGCCAUGUAAUUACUUUACUUUAUUGCUAACCGGUAGCAUAGUAGUAGAAGUAAUAAGUUGGCGAGACAACUUCAUGAAGACACGAUGAUGGAGAUGAUGGUGUCAUUGUUGGGGAACGUAGCCGAAAUUCAAAAUUUUCCUACGUGUCACCAAGAUCUAUCUAUGGAGAGACCAGCAACGAGUAGAAAGGAGAGUGCAUCUACAUACCCUUGUAGAUCGCUAAGCGGAAGCGUUCAAGUGAACGGGGUUGAUGGAGUCGUACUCGUCGUGAUUCAAAUCACCGAUGAUCAAGUGCCGAACGCACGACACCUCCGCGUUCAACACACAUACAGCCCGGUGACGUCUCCCAAGCCUUGAUCCAGCAAGGAGAGAGGGAGAGGUUGAGGAAGACUCCAUCCAGCAGCAGCACAACGGCGUGGUGGUGGUGGAGGAGCGUGGCAAUCCUGCAGGGCUUCGCCAAGCACCGCGGGAGAGGAGGAGUACUUGUGAGAGGGGGAGGGCUGCGCCAGAACUUCAUCUAUAGCUCCCAUGCGCCUCCCCACUAUAUAUAGGGGUGGAGGGGCUGGUUUCUUGCCCUCCAAGUCCAUUGGGGCAUUGGCCAAGGUGGGAGGAAAGAAAUCUCAUUAUUUCCUUCCCCACCGAUUGUUAUCCCCCCUUUUUAGGGAUCUUGAUCUUAUCCCUUCGGGAUAUGAUCUUAUUCCUUCUAAGGGGGGAUCUUGGUGCGCCUUGACCAGGGGUGUGGGGCCUUGCCCCCACUACCCACGUCCAUGUGGGUCCCCCCAUGCAGGUGGGUCCCACUCCGGAACCUUCUAGAACCUUCCCGGUACAAUACUGAAAAAUCCCGAACAUUUUCCGGUGGCCAAAAUAGGACUUCCCAUAUAUAAGUCUUUACCUCCGGACCAUUUCGGAACUCCUCGUGACGUCCGGGAUCUCAUCCGGGACUCCAAACAACAUUCGGUAACCACAUACAAACUUCCUUUAUAACCCUAGCGUCAUCGAACCUUAAGUGUGUAGACCCUACGGGUUCGGGAGACAUGUAGACAUGACCGAGACGUUCUCCGGUCAAUAACCAACAGCGGGAUCUGGAUACCCAUGAUGGCUCCCACAUGUUCCACGAUGAUGUCAUCGGAUGAACCACGAUGUCAAGGACUUAAUCAAUCCCGUAUUCAAUUCCCUUUGUCUAUCGGUAUGUUACUUGCCCGAGAUUCGAUCGUCGGUAUCCAAUACCUUGUUCAAUCUCGUUACCGGCAAGUCACUUUACUCGUUCCGUAACACAUCAUCCCGUGAUCAACUCCUUGGUCACAUUGCGCAUAUGAUGAUGUCCUACCGAGUGGGCCCAGAGAUACCUCUCCGUUUACACGGAGUGACAAAUCCCAGUCUCGAUCCGCAUAAAACAAUAGAUACUUUCGGAGAUACCUGUAGUGCACCUUUAUAGUCACCCAGUUACGUUGUGACGUUUGAUACACCCAAAGCACUCCUACGGUAUCCAGGAGUUACACGCUCUCAUGGUCGAAGGAAGAGAUACUUGACAUUGGCAAAGCUCUAGCAAAUGAACUACACGAUCUUUUGUGCUAGUCUUAGGAUUGGGUCUUGUCCAUCACAUCAUUCUCCUAAUGAUGUGAUCCCGUUAUCAACGACAUCCAAUGUCCAUAGCCAGGAAACCAUGACUAUCUGUUGAUCACAACGAGCUAGUCAACUAGAGGCUCACUAGGGACAUAUUGUGGUCUAUGUAUUCACACGCGUAUUACGAUUUCCGGAUAAUACAGUUAUAGCAUGAAUAAAAGACAAUUAUCAUGAACAAGGAAAUAUAAUAAUAAUACUUUUAUUAUUGCCUCUAGGGCAUAUUUCCAACAGUCUCCCACUUGCACUAGAGUCAAUAAUCUAGUUCACAUCGCCAUGUGAUUAACACUCACAGGUCACAUUGCCAUGUGACUAAUACCCAAGAGUUUACUAGAGUCAGUAGUCUAGUUCACAUCACUAUGUGAUUAACACUCAAUGAGUUUUAUGUUUGAUCAUGUUGCUUGUGAGAGAGGUUUUAGUCAACGGGUCUGAACCUUUCAGAUCCGUGUGUGCUUUACAAAUCUCUAUGUCAUCUCCUAGAUGCAGCUACCACGCUCUAUUUGGAGCUAUUCCAAACAACCGUUCUACUUGGAGCUAUUCUAAAUUAUUGCUCCAUUAUAUGUAUCCGGUCUCUCUACUCAGAGCUAUCCGGAUAGGUGUCAAUCUUGCAUCGUCGUAACCUUUACGAUGAACUCUUUUACCACCUCCAUAAUCGAGAAAAUUCCUUAGUCCACUAGUUACUAAGGAUAACUUUGACCGCUAUCCUGUGAGCCAUUCUUGGAUCACUCUUGUACCCCUUGACUGACUCAUGGCAAGGCACACUUCAGGUGCGGUACACAGCAUAGCAUACUGAAGAGCCUACGUCUUAAGCAUAGGGGACGACCUUCGUCCUUUCUCUCUAUUCUGCCGUGGUCGAGCUUUAAGUCUUAACUUCGUACCUUACAACUCAGGCAAGAACUCCUUCUUUGACUGGUCCAUCUUGAACACCUUCAAGAUCAUGUCAAGGUAUGUGCUCAUUUGAAAGUAUUAUUAAGCAUUUUGAUCUAUCCUUAUAGAUCUUGAUGCUCAAUGUUCAAGUAGCUUAAUCCAGGCUUUCCAUUGAAAAACACUUUCAAAAUAACCCUAUAUGCUUUCCAGAAAUUCUACGUCAUUUCUGAUCAACAAUAUGUCAACAACAUAUACUCAUCACAAAUUCUAUAGUGCUCCCACUCACUUCUUUGGAAAUACAAGUUUCUCAUAAACUUUGUACAAACCCAAAUUUUUUUGAUCAUCAUCAAAGCAUACAUUCCAACUCCGAGAUGCUCACUCCAGUCCUUAGAAGGAUUGCUGGAGCUUUGCAUACUUAUUAGCAUCUUUCGGGAUUGACAAAACCUUCCGGUUGUAUCACAUACAACCUUUCCUCAUUAAAAUCGUCGAGGAAACAAUGUUUUGACAUCCUAUCUGCAAGAUUUCAUAAAUAAUGCAGUAAUCGCUAAUAUAAUUCCAACAGACUCUUAGCAUCGCUACGAGUGAGAAAAUCUCAUCGUAGUCAACUCCUUGAACUUGUCGGAAAACAUCUUAACGACAAGUCGAGCUUUCUUAAUGGUGACAUUUACCAUCAUUGUCCGUCUUCCUUUUGAAAUCCAUCUGUACUCAUUAGCCUUACGACCAUCGAGCCGUUCUGCCAAAGUCUACACUUUGUUUUCAUACAUGGAUCCUCUCUCGGAUUUUAUGGCCUCAAGCCAUUUAUCGGAAUCCGGGCCCACCAUCGCUUCUCCAUAGCUCGUAGGUUCAUUGUUGUCUAGCAACAUGACCUUCAAGACAGGAUUACGUACCACUCUGAAGUAGUACGCAUCCUUGUCAUCCUACGAGGUUUGGAAGUGACUUGAUCCGAAGUUUCAUGAUCAAUAUCAUAAGCUUCCACUUCAAUUGGUGUAGGUGCCACAGGAACAACUCCCUGUGCCCUGUCACACACUAGUUGAAGAGACGGUUCAAUAACCUCAUCAAGUCUCCACCAUCCUCCCACUCAAUUCUUUCGAGAGAAACUUUUCCUCGAGAAAGGACCCGAUUCUAGAAACAAUCCAUAUUGCUUUCGGAUCUGAAUUAGGAGGUAUACCCAACUGUUUUGGGUUUCCUAUGAAGAUGCAUUUUAUCCGCUUUGGGUUCGAGCUUAUCAACCUGAAACUUUUUCAUAUAAGCGUCGCAGCCCCAAACUUUUAAGAAACGACAACUUAGGUUUCUCUAAACCAUAAUUCAUACGGUGUCAUCUCAAUGACGCCCUCGCGCCCGUGACGCGCGCAGAGAGAGGAGAGGAGGAGGCGUUCCCCGGCGAGGCCGACCUCGUCGGCGCAGACGGCCACGCAGUGGAGGAGGUCCCUGCGAAGAGCUCCUCGACAGUGCCGGUCGGGUCGGGCCCGUGCGCCGUCGUGCGGUUGGAGCCGGGCGGUUGCUCGGCCAUGGCCUCGACCGUGCUUGGAGAGAAGCAGGGGAUAUAGGCCGUCGCGGAUUCCGACGCCGUCGACAUGGCCGUGGCUGCCAACGGCUGGGCUAGGUAGGGGCGAGGUGCGGGUCGUCCCAGAGGAGAAGGAGAGAAAAUGGGAGGAGGAUGGCGGGGUAGCGGUGGUCGCAGGCGUGCUUGUCGGCUGCGGCGAGGUCGCCGGCCCUCCGCCCAGCGCGUCGCUCCAGCGUCGCCGGCCAAGCAGCGCGGCGGAGGCCAUGAACCCGACGCCCAGCGCGCCUCUGCCCGAGGGGUGGGGGCUGAUUGCUUUUCUGUUUUAGAUCAAGGGGUGUGUGUGUCAAUUUUUUGCUCUUAUAAUCUGACCCCACUUGUCAGAAAGUGAUCAAACGGGCCAGAUCACCUCAUCGGUGCUAUUUGCAACAAGUUUACCGAAUCCGCGGUGCGUUUUGCAAAUAAUUAGGGACUAGGUACUUUUCCGCAAAGCUAACCCCAAAUGUGGUGGUUUUCUGCAAUUCACUCGGCCGCCCGCACGGUGCCCUGCUCCUGUUCGUCCUACUCCUGGCCGGCGCGGUGGCCGCCAAGACGGCGCCGUAGGAACCCACAUUGCCCUCCACAACUCCCCUUCGCCGCGUCAACCGACACUGGGGCAGCUGCGGUCGCCGGGGUGGGGGUCAAAUCCAACUCGGUGCUGGUGGCAUUGCUGGACUUGCACUACGCGGAGCUGGCGGAGCUGGUGGAGAAGGCCCUGCUGAUCCAGACGCUAGAGGACGCCGUCGGGAGGCACAACGUCACCAUCUUCGCGCCGCGGAAUAAGACGCUGGAGCGGGACCUCGACCCGGAGUUCAAGCACUUCCUGCUCGAGCCCCGGAACCUCAAGUCGGUCUAGUCGCUGCUCCUCUUCCACGUCCUCCCCUCCCGCCACCCCGCGGGGUCAUGGCCCGCGGCCCACCACCUCACCCUCUCCGGUGAGGAGAUCGAGCUCGCCAUGGGCACCAAUGGCGUCGCGCACGCCGCCAUCACGCGCCCAGACGCGGUGCUCAGGCCAGGCGGGGUUAUCCACGGCAUCAAGCGCCUUCUUGUGCGGCGGUUGAAGUCCCAGUUAGGCGAUUAAUUAAAACAGAUCUGAUCACAUGUACUCCCUCCGUUCCAAAAUACUUCCUCUGUCCCAUAAUAUAAGAACGUUUUUAACACUACACUAGUGUUAAAAACGUUCUUAUAUUAUGGAACGGAGAGAGUACUUGACUUCCAUUUGUUAAAAAAUGGAUGUAUCUACAUACUAAAACAUGUCUAGAUACAUCUAUAUUUUGACAAAUGAAAGUCAUGUGUUGUGGAACGGAGGGAGUAGAGUGGAGUGAUCUGCCAGCUAGCUAGCGUGGUUCCCCACUAAUUGAGAUGAUUGAUUACUGGUGCAGUUUCCCCGCUAGAGAUGGGAUGGAGGGGCUGUUUUUUGGGAAGUCCCAAAAAAAAAAUUUGGGAGUGAGAGGGCUUUUGGGCACGGGCUAACAACGGAGAUUUACGGGGUGCCUUAACACUAAUUAACCUCUCCUUCUUGAUUUUCAGGAAGUGGGGCCCUUCCUCUUUCUAACCCCAUUCAAACUAUGCCACAUGUGCCAGUCCGUAAACCCUGUAAAUUUCUGCCCGUGUGUGUAGCAUCGCCGAUCGGUUAGAUAGGUGUUUUUUCCUCAAACUGCUACUUUUUGGAACUUGAGUUUUUUUGGUCUUAGGACUGAAAUGAGAAUGUUGAAAAAGGAGUGAACGAAUGAGUAUCAACCCAGAUCUUCACAAGUAGAAUAUAAAAGCUGAGUGCAGAACUAAUUAAGCACAAGAGAACCCCAGCCUUUGGAUAUUGGGUUUGACGGCUACCAUCUCACAGAUGGUUGACUGUGUGACUCUAGUAAGAACUCUGAACAAACAUGGCGGAUGUGAUGGAAAAAAGAGCAAACAAACAAACCCCUCCCAUAAACCCCGACACUAAUUUGAGAUCGAGGGAGGAUGGAGACGGUCAGGUUGGGAACUUCUGAGAGGCCGGCCGGUAAGAUCUAGAUCUUCUGAGCAGCUAGCGUAACAAGUUGAGCAGCAUAACAAGUGAGAUCUAAAAUGAAUUCAAGGCAGCAAAAUCACGCAUGCGACAAGAGCAUUUGCAACUGGAAAAAAAUCUUUAUGGAAACUAAUUACCAGACGAGGCUUGCCUGCUCCGCCCAUAUGCACCGAUCCGUGCUUCCGCUCCACUCGUUUUCAAUCCAACUGCCUCGCGUAAUUUUUCCUCCCACUUGUCUAUUUUUUAGCCAAAAAUAGGAAAACCAACCCCGUAUUUCUGUUUGCCUUCUCCCUCCCGUAAUACUCGCACCGGCCGCAUUAAAUCUCGAUGGAAAUUUAUGCUAAUCUCACAAUAUAGCACGCCAACAUACAAAGGCCUGCUCGCCAAAGUUUAGACUAGCCACAAUGGAGAGUAACAUACACAUAUCCUUAGGCUAUACUACUACCUUCAUAAUGGGUAGUAACAUAAUUGUGGUGUCAUGCAAAGAUUUAUUUAUUAGGUUAUAAACUCAUAUUGCAUUGGGACAUGUGAUGUUACAGUAACUAGUUAAGGCCCUGUUUGGUUCAUAAGUCCUAGGACUUUUUUUAGUCCCAACUUAUAAGUCUCAAGUCUCUAAAAAGUCCCUAUAUGUUUGGUUUGUGGGACUUAACAUGGACUAAAAGGCCAUACUACAACUAUAAGUCCCUAUAAGUCCCUCCUUGAAAGUCUUAUUUCAUAAGUCUCAAAUGCCCACUUUAAGUCCCUAUAAGUCCCUUCUGUUUGGUUUAGAUGGGACUUAUAGAGACUUUUUUAAGUCCCUACAUCAAUAUGUCUCCGUAAACAAACAACCUCUAAGUUACUCAAACUAUCCCUCUUCGCAUUAACUAAUUGCCAUAUAAGCAAAUUUGCUGAGUUAAACUCGAUGUUACUGCUAAAGUUACUUUCACUGUGGCUAGUCUUAGAGUUCUUCCCGGCGGUCAUGGCGUUGUAUUGAAAACGGUACAUGCAUCGGAGCAUAUGGGGGGCGUUGUAUUGAAAACGGUACAUGCAUCCGAGCAUAUGGUGGGCGUUGUAACGAGGAAUCCUCCUUGAAUGAUGAAUCCACUCGUUUUCAAUCCACCGUUGUAAUGAUAAAUCUUGUCUCGUAUGGUACAUGCAUCCCUCCGUCCACAAGUACUUCCCUGCGGUCAACGUUGGGGAGGUAGAGCCAGGUGGUCGUGCUCGGCAUCGCCGACGCCCACGGUCGGCCGUGCCGAGGACGCCGUCUCCUACAACCUCACCCCACCACUGUCCACAGUCGUUUUUCUUGAUUUCUUGCGCCAUGGCGUGCAGCACUCGAGAAGACCAGAAGCUCCGCUCAGCGUGCAGCAUCGGCGAAGCUCAGCACGGUGUCGACCUCACACUCAAUCGAGGUGCUCAUCAACGACGUGUUGCGCGUCCCUCGGGGUGUGCGUUCGGUUAAUACGGUUAUUCGGGUUACGAAUAAAUACGGUAUGAAAUACCAGUACGGUUUGGUUUCGAUAAAUUCCAAAGUACUCCCUCCGUUUUAAAAUAGAUAACUUAAUUUUGUACUAACUUUAAUACAAAGUUAGUAUAAUCAACGUGUGGUUGAGUUGGUUAGGUGGACAGUGGUAUCCCCAACCCACCAGGGCUCAAAUCCUGGUGCUCGCAUUAUUCCUGGAUUUAUUUCAGGAUUUCCGGCGAUGCGCUUUCAGUGGGAGGAGACGUUUCCGUCGACGACGAGGCGCCUACGGUGACUUCGUAAGUCUCAAGAUGAAAUGCCGGCUCAGUCUCUCGGAGGUGCUCAUAGGGGUAGGGUAUGCGUGUGUGCGUUCAUAGGGAUGAGUGUAUGCGCGUGUAUAUGAGCGCUUGUGUCUGUACUGAUGCUUAAAAAAAGUUGGGUCAUUUAUUUUGGAACGGAGGGAGUAUUACCCAUGGGAAUUUUACAUUCAUAUGCGUAAAUGGUUAUCUCUCCAGCUAGCGGGUUGCAAGAUUGAUCACAUUGCACAAUUUGCACAUGCAUUGCAUCCAUUCAUGCAUAUGCCCCUCCUUCAUGGAUUGAUGGUACAUGCAUGUGCAAAUCAAAUUAUGUACUCAUUCGCAAAAGAAAAAUCAAAUCAAAUUGUGUGCUAUGGCGUGCGCGUGUUGAGCAGUACGUAGUAGAUGAACCUGAUCGAUUGCUUUUUGCGCUCGAUCGGGGGCAAAAAAAAAAAAAGGAAUUGCGACUUAGCUGUUUGCGUACGCAAGUAGUGGCUUGCGCGCUAGACGGAAUCGAUCCAAACUGAUUGACCACGUCUCACGCUCGAUGGUUCGUUCCCGGCAGGUAGGAUCGGCGAUGGUAAAUUGUGGUGGUCAUGGUAGAGUUGCCGAGUAUCUCCGUUCCAAAAUAUAAGGACGUUUUUUACACUAGCACGUUCUCUCUUCAUCCCAAAAUAUAAGAACGUUUGGGAGUGGUUUUUAGGUCUCUAUCCCAUGGUAAACCGGGGGUUGGAUGGUAAAGGGGUGGAGUAUUACAUUGUGGGGGCCACGUUCAUCCUCACACACGGAGGAUGCUGCAUGCAGGAAAUUAAUGGAGUUCAUUUGCAAAUGCAUCCACGCACGAGUAAUAAGUAACAGAUAAUGUGGGCAAGCAAUAUGCGGAAUCUGAUGUAACAAACUGUUGUUACAAAGCCAUAAUAUACACAAGGGUAUAUACGUACAUGAGGGCGCUCCUGCUGCCGGACUCGAAGAAUGGCGGAGAUCUGCCUGCCUGGGAUUCGCAAAGGAGGUGUGGAUGGAUGCAGGGGCAGAUGCAUGCAUGUGUGGAGGUGUUGAUGCGUAGGAGGGGGGAGAGCUGUGUGCUUGCCCUCGUCUGAAAAAGAAACUGUGGAGAUCGAUAUGAUCAGCAGCGGCAAGGAAUGAAGGAAACUCUUCCUGACCUGCAGGCAAAGAAAGCAUCCUGCAGCUAGCCCGCUCCCUGCGCCAAAGAACAGUUCUGCAUCACCAGUGGCUGGCCAGUGGGGUCUUCGUUUACUUGCCGCUGGGUCUUCGUUCCAAUACAAACAUCAUUGCUUGAAGCAAGCAUCACCAGUGGGCCUCAGAUCUCGCGCUGAUAGCAGCAGCGGAUUUGAAAAAAAAAGCGUGGAUCAUGGCACUAGAGCGGUGACAUGGAACACACUGUAGCUUGUAAUAGAAAAUGUCCAAGUAGAACAUAGGAGAAUGCCACUCGCGUUUGGUGGCGCACACUUAUGUUUGAUAAUCUCUUGGAUUUUUUAUGUGGCGUGUGAAUUGAAGACAAGUGAGGUUCAUUAUCUUGGAAGAGAUAAAUGAUGACACUACUUGCCAGUCACUUAAUUUCUCGUGGUUUGGUUUGUGAAAUCUUUCGUGCUUGUAGAAAAGAAAGAGGGGAAGAAACAUUCCUUCGAUCCAGCCGGCCGGCCGCAGCGCCGCCGAUUCCACCCGUCAACGACGCCCAGAGCUCGCAGAGCACAACCGUCGCUCGCCGCCGGCCAAUCACCCGUUCGCCGCUGCCGCGUCUCCCAACCGCUCGUCGUCGUGCGGGCACGAUUGAAAAGCACGAGGAAAAAAAAUGAGGUGACAGGUACCAAAACCCAUGAAUAGAAACCGUCACGGUAAAUUGAGAAAAUAAAAUUACGACGCUGGACCAGUCACACCAACAGGUCCGAUAGAGCCAACCGGCAACCAGGCGGUCACUAGUCCGACCCGAGUGCAGAAUUUGUUAUUCUACACCUAUAUACAUAGGGAAACAACUGUUCUCGGCCGGCUGAUAAUCACAAUGCGUCCACCAUCUCCGUUGCGUGCCGCUGAUAAUCACAAUGCGUCCACCAUCUCCGUUGCGUGCCGCUGAUAAUCACAAUGCGUCCACCAUCCCCGUUGCGUGCCGCUGAUAAUCACAAUGCGUCCACCAUCUCCGUUGCGUGCCACGCGUCCUCAGCAUACAGGCAAGUGCAAGCACCUAUUUCAACAACAAUAGUGUUGUUGUAAAUCUUGGCGGGAACGACCACUGUGAUGUGAUGCGGCUUUGUUUUGAAGAAAUAUAGUCUUGCAACAAGUCCUUUAUUGCAAAAAAUAAAAUCCGCAACAAGACGUUGCUGCAGAAAAACUCUAAAAGAAAAAAAUCUGCAGCAAGAUGUCUAUUGCAAAGAAACCCGCAACAAGACGUAUGUUGCUGAAAAUUCUGCAACAAGAUGUCUGUUGCAAGAAAUUUUCGCAAUAAAGAAUGUGUUGCAAUGGUGGAUGGUAACAUUCGGCCACUCGAUGCGUCAAUCCAACAGCUCGCAUCCGGCCAAUCUUUUAAAAAGAUCAGCCGGCGGACGCGUAGCGCGCCCCAUAUACAUACGUUUGUUUUGUCAUUUGUUACUGGCUUUUCGUAAAAGAGCUUAAAACAGAAAAAACACGAGACAUACAUGUCUUUGUACGAGAGUAUUAUCUUUACUGGAGUACUAGUAGAAUGCCCGUGCGUUGUUACGGGCUACAAUACAUAUAAAUAAAUUAUAGAGAUAACUAAGGUGGUUUCCAAGGUCAAAUCUUAUUUCUUCCUCAUACGUCUUAGCUAGACUAUGUAGGGGAAAUGUAAUUGUUGUCGCUUAUCUUCAAUAGGCAAGCCUAACAGAAAAACCCCACCCUACAAUGCACCUUCCUUUUGCCUGUCGGACCCUUCCCUUCUCCCUCCCCUCCCCGCUCAGUUUUCCGCUGGAGCCCUCUCCUUUAAAACCUGAUGAUGCCCACCUCACCUUCCCCAUGGCACCCUCUUUCCUUCAGACCGUACUUCCCCACGGACCGCCAAUGAGGACUCCCCCGCCAAGUGCCCUGCUUUCCGCCCUGAUCCCUUCCCCACGUGUUUGUGCUGGUUCGCCACCGCAAUAAGGGGGAGGAGGCGUGCGUCGCCCAUGACGCCCUCGAGCCAGGAAGGCAGAUACAAUGUCUCUUAAGUUGAAUAUUAUGCAUUACCACGAAACUAAAAUAUGAUGUCCAUUGUUGGGCAUGUAACUGAUACGCCACCGUGUUCGUUAUUAACUCUUAAAGCAAUCAAUGCAUGUACCCUUCUAUCAUAACCACAAAAUUAUAACUCGGUGAAAAAAAUGUGAACCACUCGCUCAUGAAAUAUGUUGCAAAGCUCGAAUGAAAUGUAAUUUGCCACAUUUUCUAAAGUUGGAAAAUUAUUCCGCUCAAAUAUACGGAAGUGAGCAGACCAACCAUAACCCCUAUCCUGAACAGACCCCCAUCUUGUACAGAUGUAACGUGACAGGUGAGCCCAAGGUUUUAGUACGUGGAGGUGAGCCCAAGGUUUUUUUAGUAUGAGCCAAAUGUUUUAGUAUAUACUUGUAGUCAAGCCCGUGCGUUGCAACGGGAGAAAAAUAAUAUGGUACACCCCUAUCCUGAAGCAUGGCUCAGAACCCACCACAACUUCACUUCCUCUAUUUGAACAUGGCACUCCAUUUAGAAAUGGUAGAUAGUUCAAAAUUAUUCAGCCCAUAUACUAUCUUGUUAAUUCCUGUAAAAAUAGAUUAAGAGGUUAAUUAAUUAGUCAACCCUUUGAAUAGUAAUGCUCACCUUUUGUGAUAUUUGGAUUGGAUAGUGAGCUUCAGAAACUCACCUCAUCUCCCCUUCUUCCUAACGUAUACCCCCUUCGCUAGUCUCAUGAAGACGAGAUCUCUGAAGAAUCAACAUAGUACCUGUAGAAAGAAAAUAGUUAUGUACCAGUAGGAAGCAACCCUAUGCAUGUCCUCACUCUCAUAUGCCCGUGCGUUGCAACGGGAAAAAACAAAUCAUCGCAUGUUCCAAGUGACCCAUCGGUGUUACCACUCUCUUUGCCAUCGUGGUCAUGUUGUCCAUCUAUUCAUGACGAACACGAUCAAUCUCAGGUAAUGAGCCUGAUCGUCACACUCUAGCACACACCUUUAGCAAUCCCAUCAUGUGCCUCGCAACAGAAAAAAUUAUCCCUACUCCCUCCUACCAGAACAGAACACAUCUAAAUUGAUGCCUACAAAAUUGUUAUAGUACAAAGCAAGCCAAAUUUGCCAUGCCUCUAUGCUAGCAAUUUUUUGGUUAAAUUGAAAAAUAAUAUAAAUUUAUUUUUAAGCUACCAAAACUUUGAUUAGCUGUUAUGUAGCGACCAGACCUCAGACGGUCCAAUCUCUGUGCUCAGGUGUCAUCCCUGGAUCAGUAAUGCUGACACCACACAGUACUUGAAGUAUUUAUAAUAGAGUAGCAAUCACACACUUAUUACAUCGUACGUCUCAAAAGAGAACUUAUUACAAUAAUAUGGCUUAAGGCCAUCUAAUUCUAUAACAGCGGAAGGCUUGGAAGAUAAAGUGAGUCCAUCAACUCCAACGGCAUAGUUGAGCUGGACGGCAAUGACCUAACGAACCUUACUCCUCGUCUGAAAAGUCUGCAACAUAAUACGUUGCAGCCCGAAAACGGGUCAGCACAUGAAAUAUGCUGGUAAUAUAACACAGUAGAGCAAGAAUAGAAUAAUUCUAUCACUAAAUGCAUAUAUGGCUGGUGGAAAGCUGUAUGGUUAUAGUUUUUGCGAAAAGCCAAUUUUUCCCUACAACAAAGGAAUAGACUUUAAUUUAACUAUCAUGGUGGUUGAAACAUCAUUGAGAAGGUACCCCCAACUCAAUCCUAAUUAAAGUAAUUAACAACCCAACAAUAUUAAUUAAACAUGGUGAGAUACAUGCGAUAACUCAAGCACUAGAUACUCAAGAAUUGUCCAUAACCGGGGACACGGCUAACCAUGAUUAGAUUGUACACUCUGCAGAGGUUUGCGCACUUUUCCCCACAAGACUCGAUCGCCUCCGUUGGAUUUCUCGCACUACAUGGUGUUUGAGAAACGGAUGACCGAGACACAGUCUUUCAGAAACAUUAACUCUCUACUCCGAGUAGACCAUACCAAACCUACAAAACCCACUAUGUAACACCCCGGAUACGAUUUUCCCAAUAUGUACUCCAACUCUUGCCAUUUCCGGCGUUAAGUUAUUUUAUUUUCUCGGGUUCGGGUUUUUGUCUCCGUGUGUUGUUAUCGUUGUCAUGCAUCUCAUAUCAUGUCAUCAUGUGCAUUGCAUUUGAAUACGUGUUCAUCUCAUGCAUUCGAGCUUUUUCCCCGUUGUCCGUUUUGCAUUCCGGCGCUCCGUUCUCCUCCGGUGGUCAUUUCUACCUUUCUUUCGUGUGUGGGGAUUAAACAUUUCCGGAUUGGACCGAGACUUGCCAAGCGGCCUUGGUUUACUACCGGUAGACCGCCUGUCAAGUUUCAUACCAUUUGGACUUCGUUUGAUGCUCCAACGGUUAACCGAGGGACCGAAAAGGCCUCGCGUGUGUUUCAGCCCAACACCCCUCCAAGUAGGCCCAAAACCCAGAAAAAACCCUCUCCAUCAUCUAGAGCGUUCGAUCACAAUCGCGUGGCCGAAAACCGCACCUCAUUUGGACACUCCUAGCUCCCUCUACCUCUAUAUAAAGACCACCCUCCGAAAUUCGCGGUUCCAUUCCCCCCUAACCCUAGAUCCAUCCGCCCCCGCCGCCGGACACGUCCGACCCCCACCGGACAAAAACGCCGCCGCCAACCGGGGUGCGCCACGUGGCAGCGGGCGCCCCACUUCACCGCCGCCACCGACGCGGGCCCGAAGGCCCAGCACCGGCCCUCCCCGUCGCCCGACCNNNNNNNNNNNNNNNNNNNNNNNNNNNNNNNNNNNNNNNNNNNNNNNNNNNNNNNNNNNNNNNNNNNNNNNNNNNNNNNNNNNNNNNNNNNNNNNNNNNNNNNNNNNNNNNNNNNNNNNNNNNNNNNNNNNNNNNNNNNNNNNNNNNNNNNNNNNNNNNNNNNNNNNNNNNNNNNNNNNNNNNNNNNNNNNNNNNNNNNNNNNNNNNNNNNNNNNNNNNNNNNNNNNNNNNNNNNNNNNNNNNNNNNNNNNNNNNNNNNNNNNNNNNNNNNNNNNNNNNNNNNNNNNNNNNNNNNNNNNNNNNNNNNNNNNNNNNNNNNNNNNNNNNNNNNNNNNNNNNNNNNNNNNNNNNNNNNNNNNNNNNNNNNNNNNNNNNNNNNNNNNNNNNNNNNNNNNNNNNNNNNNNNNNNNNNNNNNNNNNNNNNNNNNNNNNNNNNNNNNNNNNNNNNNNNNNNNNNNNNNNNNNNNNNNNNNNNNNNNNNNNNNNNNNNNNNNNNNNNNNNNNNNNNNNNNNNNNNNNNNNNNNNNNNNNNNNNNNNNNNNNNNNNNNNNNNNNCCGACGCUGCCUGUCGCCGCCUCCCCGAGGCCUCGCCGCCGCCGACGCGCCUCCUCCACGCCGGCCAAGGCCCCGGCGAGCAGCGCCCCACUCCGGCCACCCUCGCCCCGGCCUUCUUCCCCGACGAACUCCGGCGAGCUUCAAGUCCCUCUCCGGUGAACCUCGUAACCCGUGCGGCCAGAUCUGGAUCCAGAUCCAAAAUCUCGGUUGACUUUUGCCUCAAACCCUAAAUAUUUUGCCCCUGUUCAUCAUGCCGUAACUCCUCAUCCGUAGCUUCGUUUUGGGCAUAUAGCAUAUCAAAAUGUUCGCCUCAGAGAGCACAUCAUUUCAUCUCAUUGCAUCAUUUUCAUUUGAGUUCAUCUUGAUGCCCGAAAUGCUGUUAGAAGAAUGCUAUUUGAGAUAAUUGUCAGAUCUGCUGCUCCAUUUAGAUAAUUGUCAUUUUUGCCAUGAUUAUUGUGUGCAUGAUAUGCCCCUGAGCUCUACAUGUGUUUUGUUACAUGUUUUGCCAUCUAUCCAGAGGUGCAACCCAUGUAUUUUUGUGAUGUGUGUGGUGACUAGCACAAGCUUGCAAAGUGGAGCAUUCGUUAAUCCUGAUUUCAGGGACUUAGCAUUUCCACUAAGUCCUUGGACUGUUUAUCUCAAUAUGCCAUAUGUUCGUGUUGUUUCCUAGUGAUCCGUGCCUCUUUUGAGGAUGAUCAGUAAGGAUGUUUUGUUAAUCUUGUAGUGCUCUAUCCAUCCAUGUCUUUGUUUGCAAUUAUGGAGCACCCUAGCUUGAGUCAAUCGAGCUCUACUUUUGUCAUUUCGAGAAUCUGGGCAGAUUGUCUACUUGUUAGCAAUUUUGCCGAGGAUGUUGUAGUUGAUCCAUGCAUACUAUGUUAUUGCUCUUGCCAUAUCUAGCUUGUAUUUUGUGUAUUCUUGAUGGGUGUAUGCUUAGAUUGUCAUGACAUGAUCUGUAGUGAGUGCAUCGAGCUCGUAAACAUGCCUACUUGAUAUCUGUUUCAGCAUGCUCCAGUUUUCACUAAGUCUAAGAACUGAUUAUGUUUUUGUCAUGUUCACAUGCUUGCAAAUGUAUUUUCUGAUCCCUUUUGGCUCAAGGUCACUAAGGGACUUUUGUUAAGCUCUUUGAGUAGCUCCAUGCCAUGCUUUACUUUGUCAUGUUCAGGUCCAGUAGCAUAUAGUUUUCAUGCUCCAAAGUGGGCUACCUGAUAUGAAAUUCCAGACAAGUGUUGAUUUCACUAAGUCUGAAAUCUGUUUACCAAAUGCAUUUUUGCCAUGCUUGUUUGAACCUGUUAAUGGAUGAAUUGGCCGUAGCUCAGUGCUAGUCUUUUGUUAAGCAUCAUGAAUGGAUCCCUGCCAUGUAAUUUGUUGUCAUGUUUGGGUGCUGUAGCAUGUUCAUCUUGUUGCAUUUAGUUGGCUACUUGCUGUAAAUCGCAGAACGUGGUCAUAUUCGAAUUGCUUGCCAUUCCCAAACCGUAACUCCGAUUCCGGCGUUCUUUAUAUCGCUUUCAAGCGAUUUCAUCUCACCUUUCUAGUGGCACACUUGGAUUUCCAAGCUGAGGCCAGGUUCAUGCAUUCCUUGUCAAAUCUUGCAUAUGCAUCACAUAUUGCAUCCUGCAUAGCAUACCAUCUUUGCAUCAUGUUGUUUGAGUUUGCACGUGGUUGAUUGUGUCCUUGUUGCUUGUUUGUCUUGUUUGGGUAGAGCCGGGAGAUGAGUUCGCUAACGAGGAGCCCGUUGAGUUUGCUUUCGAGGAUCCAGUCAACUCUGACAACUUUGCAGGCAAGAUGAUCAUACCCUCGAAAUCACUACUAUCUUUGCUUUGCUAGAUGCUCGCUCUUUUGCUAUGCCUAUGCUACGAUGCCUACCACUUGCUUAUCAUGCCUCCCAAAUUGCCAUGUCAAACCUCUAACCCACCAUGUCCUAGCAAACCGUUGAUUGGCUAUGUUACCGCUUUGCUCAGCCCCUCUUAAAGCGUUGCUAGUUGCAGGUGAAGAUUGGAGACCGUUCCUUGUUGGAACAUUAUUUACUUGUUGGGAUAUCAUUAUAUUGCCUUGUUAUCUUAAUGCAUCUAUAUACUUGGUAAAGGGUGGAAGGCUCGGCCUCUCGCCUAGUGUUUUGUUCCACUCUUGCCGCCCUAGUUUCCGUCAUAUCAGUGUUAUGUUCCCGGAUUUUGCGUUCCUUACGCAGUUGGGUGAUAAUGGGAACCCCUUGAUAGUUCGCCUUGAUUAAAGCUUUUCCAGCAAUGCCCAACCUUGGUUUUACCAUUUACCACCUAGCCUCUUUUUCCCUUGGGUUUCCGGAGCCCGAGGGUCAUCUUAUUUAAACCCCCCCGGGCCAGUGCUCCUCUGAGUGUUGGUCCGAACCAGGCAGCCUGCGGGGCCACCUCGGGGAAACUCGAGGGCUGGUUCUACUCGUAGCUUGACCUAUCUGAGUGUGCCCUGAGAACGAGUUAUGUGCAGCUCCUAUCGGGAUUUGUCGGCACAUUUGGGCGGUGUUGCUGGAUUUGUUUUAAUUUGUCGAAGUGUCUUGUAGAACCGGGAUACCGAGUCUGAUCGGAAUGUCUCGGGAGAAGGUCUAUUCCUUCGUUGACCGUGAGAGCUUGUCAUGGGCUAAGUUGGGACUCCCCUGCAGGGAUUUGAACUUUCGAAAGACGUGCCCGCGGUUAUGGGCAGAUGGGAAUUUGUUAAUGUCUGGUUGUAGAUAACUUGAACCUUAACUUAAUUAAUAUGAAUCAUCAGUGUGAGUUACUAUGAUGGUCUCUUCUCGGCGGAGUCCGGGAAGUGAACACAGUGUUGGAGUAAUGCUUGCCGCAGGAUGUUCUCUAGUUAUUCGUUCGCGCUUUGCCUCCUCUUCUCGCCUCUUUUGCGAACAGGAUAGCCACCAUAUAUGCUAGUCGCUUGCUGCAGCUCCACAUAUUUUACCUUGCCUUUACCUAUAAGCUUAAAUAGUCUUGAUCGUGAGGGUGCGAGAUUGCUGAGUCCCUGUGGCUCACAGAUUACUUCCAAACCAGAUGCAGGGCCUGAUGACUCCGUUCCAUAUGACGCGCUUGAGCUCAAGUGGGAGUUCGACGAGGACUCACGUCGUUACUACAUGUCUUUCCCUGAUGAUCAAUAGUGGUGCCCAGUCGGGGUGAUCGGGACCGUGUCGCAUGUUGGGUUAUCUUUCAUUUUGGCGCCGUAGUCGGGCCAUGAGUGUUUGAUUGUUGUAAUGCUAUUUAUGUACUUUGAUUGACGUGGUGAGUGUAAGACAACUAUGUAUCUCCCCUUUUAUUAUCUAUACUACAUGGGAUGUUGUGAAGAUUGCCUAACCUGCAACAUUGCUUUCAAUGCGGUUAUGCCUCUAAGUCGUGCCUCGACACGUGGGAGCUAUAGCCGCAUCGAGGGCGUUACACACUACCUACUGAUCUACCUGUUCAAGAGCUUCACGUAACCUACUCAACUAUGCUAGAGCCCAUAAUAGCUUGUGGCUGCACACGGAAGUUUCUAGCAUGAAUCAUCUCAGUUCCGUUUGAGCCUGGGUGGCGGUCCAUAGGAAGAUCACAUGGGUACCCCGGGAUUUCCAAAAAAACAGACAACACUGGGUUCCCCAGGUGCCUCAAUCCACCCAGUUGUUUGAUUAAGUUGCCACCUUAAGUUGAACCAUUAAUUAAGAAUCUCACAACUGUCAUGGAUUUCACUCAAACCCGAACCACGUCUACGAGCAUAGCAUGGCAAUAUAAGCAAUACGUAGAGGUAACUCCCAAGUGUUUGAAUAUAACAGGACAAUAGGUUCUACCUCAGCAACUACUUCCCAACCCACAAGUUAAUGACAUCCUAAUCAUGCAAUGUUUGAGGAUUGGAACUAAUGCACAAAAACUGGGUUUGGAAAGAGUAUGAUCAAUGUGUUACUUGCCUUGCUGACGAUCCGCGAAUCCUAGAGACUCGUAGUAACACGCUUCACACUCUGGGAAUUCCAUCGCAAGCAAACAAUAACAUACAUAAGUAACAAGCAAUGAUGCACAAGCAAAACUCAAACAAGAGAGGUUGACCAGAAAGUUCGACUUAAGAAUUCUGGUUUGCAAAAGAAUCAAAUCGAACAAAGCAACAAAACUCAACCAGCGAACGAAAGAAACUUCGUUUACUAAUCUGAACUUAGGUCAAAUUUUACAGUAGCAAAAACUUGUUUGAGUUGAUUAACCGGAAAGAGGGUUUCGAGACGAAACUCCACGCGCUUGAAUCGCCUGAUUCCGAUAAACAAGCGAAAAGAUAAACAGAAACUAAGAUCGCAUCCGAAAUCGCGAUCAGAAAAACCGCGGAAUAAAUCCGAGAAAAAGGAAAAACGAAGAACAGGUUAACAAAGUAUUCUAUGGUUUGGUAGAUUAAUUACCUCCAUUCCAUAUGUAUCUCCUAGUACACGAAGCCACUGAUUGACUUGUUCAAGAAACACGGAGUCUGUUCUAAGGGUAAUCCUUUGGACUUCCACGCGUGGAGACAUCAAUAUCCUUGAUGAUGGUUCCCCACCUGAACUCGGUAGUGCUUUAUUGUAAGACUACUCUGUGGUCAUGCUUGUCUUGGACAACAUGUUCACAUGUAUGUAGCAGAACUAGCUCAUGUUUUGGAGCUUGCUAUCAUAGUUCACCUCCCGAGAGUCUCGCAAUGUUAUCUCGUCGACUUGUGUUGCAACCUUUCUUUUCUAGACAUGUUGUAUGAAAAAUCCUGUUACCAGCCAGAUCUGAAUCUCAGGCAGAUAUGAUGGCUGGAACAUUUCCAAGAUCUAUGAUGUAGGCCCCGACGAGGUUGAUAUUUUGGCCGACACACCUAGCCGGAAGAUCUAUUAUUAUAGUAUCUUGAACGAGCAAUUCGACCAUCUUCUCCAUGAGGAUUUGGUAUGACUUUUUCCACAAGUUGUUCCUUAUGGAUUCUUGUGCUCCCAAAGUCCGACCUUUUACUUGAUGUUCUAGAUACCAAACCAUAUCAAUAAAUGGGUUACGCUAGCACAUCAAGGAGAACAUUAGAAGCGGAGUGCUCAAUGUCUCUCGGUCGAUCAUCCAGAUUUUUACUUGGCCUCGCUAAGGUGAAAUCUGGGAAGGUGUUAUCUUCCUUUGCGUCUGCAUCGUCCAUCACUAUUCAUCAUGGUAGUAUGAUGUGUCGCUAGGAUCCUCGACAUGGAUGUUGGU